UUUUUUCUUUUUUUUUUUUUUUGUAAUUUUAUAAAGCAGGGAAUGGAUGCAAUUUAAUAUAGCAGCUUUUCCAAGCAAGCCUCUGGAAUCUCCUGUAAACCCCCAUGAUUUGGUCAAGGGAGGAUAUUAGGGGAAGCAGUGAAGCCCAACAGUUAGCAUCCUCCCCUUUCUCCUAAAAGGUUGAAGCUGAAGUGGAACACGCCAUUAAGUAAUUUUAUAAAGCAGGGAAUGGAUGCAAUUUAAUAUAGCAGCUUUUCCAAGCAAGCCUCUGGAAUCUCCUGUAAACCCCCAUGAUUUGGUCAAGGGAGGAUAUUAGGGGAAGCAGUGAAGCCCAACAGUUAGCAUCCUCCCCUUUCUCCUAAAAGGUUGAAGCUGAAGUGGAACACGCCAUUAAGAAAAAAAAAAAAAACAAAAGGAGUUCUGCAUCUCUCCGGCGCUGAGGGAACAAAUGGGCGUGGGGAUGAUUCUUCUUCCAUUCCAAGCUUAUCAACGUCGUAACAAGGUAGCUCUAGGGACAAACUAUGGCUAGAUUGAAUCCUUUUUAUUUAUUAUAUUAUGAUAUUUAGAUAUAUAGCUAUGCUUAGGGGUAUGGAACUUAGCAAGCUUUCUCGAUCAACUGCUCCUGGGGAAUCCCAAAAGAUUUCAGGCAACUCUGACUCAGAAGCACAAAAACUCUGCUUUGCUGGAAACCCAAUUCUCAAAAAUCUCGGAAGAAAGAAAGAGAAAUUUAGCUUAAAAAAAAUCCAAAACCUCUAAUUCUUGAAAACUUAACUUUAGCCACGACUCUUGAAUAUUUGGCCCAGGGUACUCUUUUGGUUUCUUCUGCGAAAUAUCUACUCUAAGUUCGGGUAAUGAUUAACAACAUCUAGGCCAGUUUGUUUCUUAACGGGGACAAAGUUGAUUAAUUCGUUAAAUCCAAUAUGCAAUUGCACCAUCUGAAAUUAUUACUAGAUAAACACAGUUGGCAAAGCAUUCAAUUUUAUUUUUUUUUUGGUAACCCGGAACAUGUCCCGACCAGAAUCCUUAGGAUCCGAGCCGGCACACCAAACCGGAGGGAAGCCGACAGCCCCAUACAGCUUCCCGGACGAGUCAGGAUGUGCGACGCAGCGGGCACGAAUCGAAUCCUGGUCAGUGGAAAAACCAGCAACACAAGACCGACCCCUCAACCGCUGCGCCAUAUGCCCUGGGGGCCAUUCAAUUUCAGUUGCAUAACAACAAAAAGGAUUGUCGGGGAUAGACAUCAGAAAUUUGGAACAAGAAUAUCUAAAUGCGAUUCUUGCUAUGACAAAAGAGUGAAGCCUCAAAUUGAAAGUCAUAUAAAAAUGUACUAUAUUUUGAGAACAUGGAUAGAACCUGGAUGAAAAUUACAAUAUGCAAUGUAAAAUAUUUAUCUUUAUUUUCACAAAAUAUACUACUUUAAUGUGCAUAGUGUAGUCAAUGUCUAUGUAUAAUACACUACACCUACAUACAUAAAGUACAAUUCUUUUUCUAUAUUUUGUAUGUAUCCAAAUAUUUUCUUGUAUUGAAAAAUGAAAAAAUAUUUAAAUAUAAUAUGCAAACCAUGUUAUUUUAAUAUAGCUAUUCAGAAAAAGUACACCUUAAAGAUGAUCCUUUGAAACAAUUGAGGGGAAACUAUCAUAUACAUGAUCAUCAUUCAUUUUUUAUAAAGUACAUGAUUUAAUACUUUACCUACAUACACGAUUUAAUAUAUAAGAUUUUGAUCUAAUAGUGCAUUAAAUUUGUUGUAGUGAAUCAUUUUUGUUUUUCUUUUCUACUACUUUCUUUUCCUUUUUAUUUCUUUUCCUUUUCACUUCUUCCAUGUCACUAUUUUCUUCACUUACCCAUAAGUAUUGCUAAUUGUGUGCUUAUUUAAAUAUUGUAGUUUUCUUUUAAUUAUAAUUUCAUUCUUACUUUGAUUUAUUAACUUAUUUAUUUAUAGUAUUAAGAAAUUCAUGAUAAACUAUAUAGCGUGACAAAAUAUCAAUUACAUGUCAUAAUCAAAGGAGUAUAUAAUUUAACUAUUUAACAGAUAUUAGCAAACUAGAAUCUUUAUUAUAUAUUUCAAAGUAUAUGCCAAAUAAAUAAAGUAACUAGUAGUCGUAUGAAUUUUAUGCAUAGACAAUUAAACGUUAUGUGAUUAUGAUCUAUUUAUUUGUUAUUUUUUAUUAUCAAUUAAUUAAUGUAAAUGCCAUAUGGAAUAGUCUAUGUGGAUAGCUAAUAUAGACUUUGUUAUAGUGUAGAAUUUGUUAUCAUUAUUACUUUUUAAAAAAAAAUUUAGCAAAAGAAAGGUGAGAUUUAAGAAGAGGGAGAGGGAAGGGGAGAUUUGUGAUUAUUAUUACUUCUAACAGGAAAAAGUAAAUAGCACUAUAAAUAAAGAAUAUAUUUAUGAAAAUUAAAAAUAAUACAUAGAUAAUAAUAAUAAUAAAGAAAAAAAGAAAGUAGUUGGUCACAUGAAAGAAGGGAGAAAAAUUGAAAGCCAAAAAUAAAAGGGACAAAAGUAGAAAAGAAAUAUAAAUAUAAUUACUGCAAAGAACAGACACUUUUGCUUUUUUUUGUUUAAAUUUCUAGCAAGGAAGAUUCACUUUUAUCCUAAAACAUCAUGUAGGAGGGCAAAGUAUCUAUUUAAUGAGUUCAAGUAGGUAACAUGCAACUCGAGGCAAAGUUCAAAAGGAUUUUACUGCAUUUAACCCUAAAAGAAGUCACUAAAUAAUAUAAUAUACUAAUAUUAGAAUUGAGACUCUUACUGAGGGUUUUUUUUUUUGUGCACCACCACCACACCGCACUCCACCAAAGGCCACAAGAGAAUGAAAGCUCAAGUUUCGGAAUUUUUCCCUUUUGUAUAAUUUGCGUUCUGCCUCGUCUUGUCUCACUUAUUUUGAGCUUUAGAAAUAUCUCUUGAUCUUUGUAUUCUUCCUUAUAAUAGCAAAAUUUGCUCUCUUCCACUCAUGAACAUCCGUCUAUUUGACCGAAUUACAUAAAUCUUAGUGUCUUUAUCUUUUAUUAUUUUUCCUUUACAUUUUUAUUAUAGUUUUCAUUAUUAAUUUUGUGAGUAACCAAAUAACUUUUGUCCAAUUACUUUGGCCAAAUCCUAACACAUUUUAACUGAUCACAACACCAUUUGGUUCGUGUCCUAAUGGAAAUUGACCAUAAUGAGCAAGCCUAUAUUCUCCGGGAAAAUUCUGAUAGAAAAUCAUGAGCUCUCAAAAUUUAGUAGAUGUUGAAUGAAAAUGAAAACUUAAUUCGCUUUAAUUUGUUAUAGGCCUUGGCGGGCCUUUCGGUGCAUCCUUGGUUUCAGAUCAUUUUGGGUUCAAAAUUUUCCUCAGUUUCAUUUGGGCCCAACAUAAUCGAGUCCAAACACACUUUGGGCACUUGGUUUUCUCCUCAGAUUUUGCUUUAUGUCUCAUAUUUGUCCACUUCAGCCUUCGGUGGGAAGCUAAAAGCUCUUCUCAAUGUGAAUAAAUACGAGUUCCAAAAUAACAGAUAUUUUCCCAAUCUGAAAAGCUUUAAUAGCCUGAGAAAUAGAUAAAUUGAUUAACUUUCAAGGAACAGAAUGGAUUAAAUGACAUAUGCAUUACUGAAAAUUAGAAUUUCAAUAUGGGAGAAAGGACGUCCAACAACAUCAGGAGCAAUUCUUUUAGGCACAACAAUGCCAAAUUAUCUGCAAAGAAGAGUAUGAAAUUCUUGAUGAUUUUUGCAUACUCUUCCAAGCGCAUCAAGCUCCCCAAGCUAGUUGCUCAUGUAGUUGUUGCUAUAACUGAAUCAAAAUGUUACCAAUAGAUUUAUGAUCAUUCUUGAAAAUACAAAUCCGUGCUACAGUAGAGAGGGUCACAAAGAAAAAUUUGUCCUUGUCACUGAAAACGAUUUUAGUUUUGUUAUUAAUGAUUACAAACAAAUACAACAUCUAGGUAAAGUCAAUGGAUAGCGUUCAGGUUGAAUCUAAUUGAUCCAAAUCCAAGCUCACUGCAUUUGUCAAUUACCGAGACGCUCAUGGUUAGAAAAUUCAAACUCGAAACCUUAUGGAUCUAGCUAGUGAUUGGGUAUGAACAUGUAUUUCUUGAUGUGCAAUUAGAAAUAAGGACAAAAUACUCAUAAUCCCCCUGUACUUCUUAAUGAUACCACAUGAUCUCCCCAAGGUUAUAAAAUGUUCACUUAAUCCCUUGUGAUUUUUAUGUAAAUUGAAAAUUUGAUGAAAAAUAGUUUCUGUAACAUCAUUAGUUGAAAUGCUAGUGUCGGACUUACUUGAAUACUAAAUUAAAUAAGGGCCUAACCAUUUUGCUUACCGUCAUAAUGGGAUUAUGUGGAUAGAUGCAAAACUACAAGGUGAUUAAGUGGAUAUUUAUCCAAAACUAUAGAGGGUUAAAUAGAUAUUUUAAAAUUUCACCACAUGUACUUUUUGGAAAGUGUCUCGGUCAAUUGCUAUAACCAGAAAUUUUUCAUCUAUUUUUCACUUUAUAUAAAACCAAAGGAGGAUGAUAUAUGGACAUUUUGAAACAUUAAAGGGCGUCAUGUGAUAUCAUGCAAAAGUACAAGGAGUUACAAAUCAUUUACCCUGAAAACAAAUUCAAAAAAUAAUAAAAACAUAUUAAAUUCAAAGAUAACAAACCUAUAAUCCAAAUGCCAUUUUCAAAUAACAAAAUCAACAUUUUAUACUAUAUAUAUCUAUGUAUGUGUGUGUACACACACACACAUAGACCAUACAAAAUCCAAACUUGUAAUUCUUUCACAAUGUCUCAAUUCAGAUAGGGUGUGGGUUUGAAAAAUUGGAAAUCAACCUAGGAAAAUAAUGAGGGAUCUAGAUAACACUCAUCCCAUUGACGUGGGAGUUAAGAUCUUCUCCAUUAGAUUUCUUUAAAUAUAUUUAAAUUACUAUGACUUUAUAAAAUUAUCUGAUUAUGUCAUUACUUUUAUUUUAAUCUCUAGAUCAACAUACUAAAAAAUAAUAUUGCUUUGAGAAUAUUUUGGCAUUUAAUUUAUACUAAACAUUUGAAGAGUGAAAAAUGAGUCACAAUAAUAAACAGAUUUAUAGUGAUUAAUCAAACGAUAAAAUUUAGUCAAUUUCAUAUGAAAUUUUAUAUAUAACUUACACAAGUGAGGAAAUGGUGUCCAACAGCUUUUUCAAUUCCAAGAUCAUUUUGUCCACAUCUCUCACUGUUUUCGUCAAGCUAACCUAGUUGUAGAUAUCCUUUCUAAUGUUGGGUGUGUAGAUGUUUUGGACAAGUUUUAUCAUCAAGUUUCUGAACUACCUUCUUUAGCUCGAGGUGCGUUGAGGAAAUAAAAUGUUGAUGAUAAAACUUGAUGAUAAAACUCGAUCAAUAUUGAGCUCGAGUUCGAAUUGACCAAGUUGAGCUCGACCUAUCCAAGUCGAGCUCAAAGGUCGAGCUAACCGAGCUCGAGACUCGAGUUCAAAGGUAUUUAGUUCGUUAACUCGUGAGCCGACUCAAUUAUAUAUAUAUAUAACUUUUUAUUUUAGUAAUAAAAUUACACAUAUAUUCCUAAUAUUUUAUUAUUUGUUAAAAAUUUAUUAUUUUAUUUAUAUUUUAAAAAUAAAAUAAUUAUUUUUUUUAAGCUCGAACUCGAGUUUUACAUUUUGAUCUCAUUGAGUUCGAAAUUCAUAAAACUAAGUUGGGACUUUACUCAAUUAGGCCAAAGUUUGAUUUGGUUUGACUCGUUUGCACCCUAAUUGAAGCUAAAUGCAUUAGGCUUACCAUCAAUUAGGAAAUUAAUUGUUCAUUAGUUUGUAAAGAAAGUAGUACUUCUUGUUUUUUGGUUUUUUUUUUUUCCACUGCUUGUUUGGAGGUAAGGUUUAUGUCCAUCUCCUUUUUUAAAUUUAUUAAUAAAAUUUAGGGGUGGCGUCUCUCCCCCAUAUACGGGGUCUGCCAUUUAAAAAGAAAAAGAAAAUAUAUUUUGGACGGUAUUAUUUUUUAAAAUAAUUUUAUUAGGGUGUGAUGGAGAGAUUCUCUCCAUUGCAAUGGAGAGGAGCUCAGCCUACCUAAACUUACCCUCUUCAAAAUACUGAUAAACUUCGAUCCAUUUACUUGUUCCUCAAUUGAGAAAUGCCACGAAAGUGACGCAACCAGAAUUUAAGAAAGCAUCGCAGAUCUCAAACCUGUCGGCUUAGAUAAUAUCAAGAUGCAUUUCUUGGAUGCACUCAAGAUGAUUUUGCUGCAAAGCCAGGAAUUCCUAGGACCAGUUUCUAUGGAAUGAACGGCUUUGCUACGAACAGUAUAUACGUUUUUCAGCUAGUAAGUAACUUAUUGCCUGUUACUUUUAAUAACACACCUAAACUAAAACCAUGCCUAAUUCGGUAAUUCCUCACUUAGCCAUAUGUACUUUUAAUAAAUUAUUGCCUGUUACUUUUAGACAUAUGUACCUUAGCAUUUUUUGUAAUUUAGCUAAUGUUUUCUUAAUAAUAAACUUAUAAAAAUUACAAAAGUACUUUUUAUAAAUUUAACGGUGACAAGUAUGUCAAAUGGACGUAAAAGUCCAUUCAUGCCUACUGCAGACUUAACAAAUUUGCAAAAAUGAUUAAAAAGAAACUAAACUGGAGGGUGCAAUUUCAUCCAAUAAUUAGAGUUUAAGGGUACAAAAUAGAAAUACAUAACAAAUUAGGGUUCAAAAUGAUGUUUAACAUCCUGACUAACCGUGAUCGAUAGGUUUGCAAUCACAUAUAAUUUCGUGAAUUUCCUGAAUAAAAAACCAAAGUUGGAUGGCUACUUAGGGUACAAUGUAUUCUAAUUGAUUGUGUAAAGUGCAAAUCCAUCAUGAAUUAUAGGGUACAAAGUGGAUUUAGUCAUUUAUAAAAUACCAAUGUUACUUUUAAUGUUGUACUAACUAACAUAGUCCUUAGUCAAUUCCCAAGUUUUAGGUUUAUUUUCAAUUGUUCCUAUAUGUUUCAAGGACUUUUCAAUUGUUCUUCUUUCCAAGUCUCUUACACAUAUAUUUUUUUUCAACAAGAAGUCCUCGUCGAAAUUGAUGUCAAGAUAAAGGUGUCCAUCUUAAAUUUUUCAUAUCUUCUUAGAUACUUCGUGCCAAGCAUUUCAAUUGGUUUCAUAUCUUCUUUCCUAUGUCAAGGAAGAUAUAUAUUGGUAAAAAAAAAAAAAAAAAAGACACAAGCACAAACAAUAUGUGGUCACUGGAUAAAACACAAAGGAAAAAAUAAUGUCUGUUAACAUAGAAAAUUAUUUAAAUCUUGUAUGUUUCUACUUGGACACGGAGAUCAAGGUCAACUAGACUUCCACAAAGUUAUAUAUUUCGUGGAGGUAAGCGAUGUUGUCAAAGCAAAUUAAAGCCUAGAUUACAGAUUUUGUCCUUUAAGACACUCUCAGAUGGAGGCAAUUGAAUAGAGAAGUUUGUGCCCCGCGUGAAUGGUCCAGCGGCAGUGCCUCUCACCAGUGAACAUUGAGGUCACAAGUUCGAGUCUCCGCUCCGCUGGAUUCCUCCGCGCACUUAAUGUGUUCAGGCCGGGUUGGGGCGCCGAGCCCGGGCUGCAGGGGAUUAGUCGGGCCAAGUAAGGAUUGACCCGGACACCCCUGUGUCAAAAAAAUAAAAAGAAUAGAGAAGUUUGCAUGUGUACUAUUCAAACCAAACUAUUAAUGUGCUAGUGUUUGUCUAUGCAUGUCUUGACUCUUGAUUGUCAAACUAGAAGAGAUAGCAUUCAUUAUCAAGGCUACUCACCAUAUCCCCUCUCACAGAGAAUAUUACUUCACAAUACAAGGACUCAGUCUCUUGCUAAGUAUCACUGAAUAGGAAUCAGGGCAUAGCAAUGAUAUGUUCACUUAGGCACUGCUUGUUUUGAGGGAAUAGGAGGGAAAGGAAAAGAAAUGGAGGGACUCUUCCCCUUGGACAAGCGGUCAAACAUGCUCUUUCUUGCAGUGAAGUCUUUUCCUUGUAGUGGUCUCUUCCCCUUGAACAAGCGGUCAAAAAUACUCUUCUUCUGUCGUCCUUCCUUCGCCUCUCCAUUGGUUUUAGUAUCACAAACAAUGAAAGUUAUAUUGAACUUCCUGUCUCGGCGACGUUAUAUUCUUGUCUCGAUAACUGCAUGUUAUUGCUGUAUCACUUCUCUUGUUAAGUUCACAAACUUAGUAAGAGUUGGAACAUAGAAUUUUAACAUUUAAUAAUUGAAUAAAUUCGCCGGUAAACUACUUCAGUAAUUAUUCUUUCUUUUAUUUUUACAUUCUGCAUUACAGUAUACUCCUGAAUGAGAGAACUACUCCUAUAAAAAGGAGCAUUUUGUACUGCAAAACCAAAAAAUCAAAACAACAAACAAAGAAGCCAGCAACCGCUGCAAAAGAUGGUUGCCAUUUCCUCCCCACAUUUUGUAAUAUUCCCCUUCAUGGCUCAAGGCCACACUAUCCCCCUCCUCUACCUUGCUCGCCUUCUCUGGCAGCGCAAUGUCGCUGUCACGGUGUUCACCACCCCAGCUAACUCUCCAUCAAUCCGUGCUACUCUCCAUGACACUGCCAUCUCAAUUAUUGAACUACCUUUCCCAGCACAUGUUGAUGGCAUCCCUCCAGGGGUUGAAAAUACUGAUAAACUUCCAUCCAUGUUACUAUUUGUUCAAUUUGCAAAUGCCACGAAACUCAUGCAGCCACAUUUUGAGAAGGCACUUGAAGAUCUCAAACCCGUUGGCUGCAUAAUAUCUGAUGGAUUUCUAGGAUGGACUCAAGAUUCUGGCGCAAAGCUAGGAUUUCCAAGAAUUGGUUUCUAUGGAAUGAGCAGCUUUGCUACUACCAUGUAUGCGAUUAUUGGCCAAGAAAGGCCACAUGCACUUACUAUGUCACCUGAUGAGCCCUUUUCCAUCCCAAAUUUCCCUAAACUAACCUUGACAAGAAAUGAUUUCAAUCCACCAUUCAAUGAAAUUGAACCAAAAGGUCCGAUGGUUGAGUUCAUUACAGAGCAAAGUAUUGCAAUGGCAAAAAGUUACGGCAUGAUUCUCAACAGCUUCUACAAGCUUGAAGCAGCCUAUACUGACUUCUGGAACAAAUGCCUUGGACCCAAAGCCUGGUGUGUUGGUCCUCUAGCGGAAGCCAAGCCGCCAGUAUUAUUAGCUGAAGAAUCUGCAAAGCCAAAGUGGAGGCACUGGCUUGACAAAAAAUUGCACAAUGGAAAGUCAGUUUUGUACGUGGCAUUUGGAACUCAGGCUGAAGUAUCCCAAGAGCAACUGCUUGAAAUUGCAAAUGGUCUAGAACAAUCUAAGGUGAAUUUCUUGUGGGUCAUAAAAUCAAAACGGCUGGAGAUCUUGCAAGGGUUUGAAGAAAGGGUGAAGGAUAGAGGGAUCAUAGUGAAAGAAUGGGUAGAUCAGAUGGAGACACUUAGGCACGAGAGUGUAAAAGGGUUCUUGAGCCAUUGUGGAUGGAACUCAGUUACUGAAAGCAUGUCAGCUGGCGUGCCCAUCUUGGCGAUGCCAUUCAUGGCUGAGCAACAUCUGAAUGCAAGACUUGUAUCGGAGGAGGUUGGUGUAGGCCUGAGAAUUAUGCCAUGCAAUGGAUCAGUGAGGGGCUUUGUCAAGUCAUCGGAAGUGGAGAAGAGAGUGAAAGAACUGAUGCAAGGAACAAAAGGGGAGGCCGCAAGGAAAAAGAUGGAAGAGGUUGGAGAAGCUGCUUGUGAUGCAAUGAGAGAAGGUGGUUCCUCAUGGGAAACUCUAGAUCAACUCAUCCAUGAUAUAAGUAACUACACAAGAUUAACUCCUCUUAAUCAUGGAUUGGUAAGUGAACUUGGGACAGUUUCAGUUAGUUAAUAAUUUGUUUAUGUGUGAUGAAUUGGUAUACGGUAUAGUUGUACGUACAGCAAUACCAUAUGGGGCUACUACAGUUUUAUGUAAAUCAACUUUCGUAACAGGACAACAACAUUAUGUUAGUGUAUACCAAAUCUCAUGAAAAAUACACAUCACCUAUAUGCAUCCACAGCAACCCCGAAGUCUUAACCGCAGUGUCCCUGGUUUGUAAUAAGUUGUCAAGCAACCGAAAUUGUUCUCCUAUCGUUUGGAAUCAACUUUGUUUUUCUUUUAUGUAUAUUGUAUUUAUUUGGGAUCCAAAGGUUAGACCUAGGUUGAUUUUAAAGUUGUGAAAUCUGAUUAAUAAUUUGGAAGGGCUAUGCAAUAGCGACCUCAGAACCUUGCAUCCAAAUCAACCUUGAGAUCCUUGGCUUGAUUAUUCGACUUGUACAGUAAAUAAAAUCAUCCAAAGUGUCAAGAAGCAAACUUUCAUAAAAAAGCCCGUGCAAAAUCCUAGAAGACAUAUCUAGUCUACAGAUGUCUGAAGCCAACAUAUGCGUGUCUUCUAGAGAGUUAUUUUACAAGCACAACAUCAAAGAAGAAAAUUUAUUAUGCUAAUGCUACAACUGAAGACAAAGGGUUUAAAAUACAUUCAUGCAAUAGGGUGUACAGAAAUUAUCUAAAGGUCUAUGCGUUCACUACUUCUAUUGAUCUUAUAAAACUACUUACCAAUCGUAUCCAUCUAGUGUUUGCCCGUGUACACUCAACUCGCAGGACAAACUAAGAGUCUACUGCUGUUCUUCUUGCAUAUUUGUCAACAUCCAAGAAGAGAUUUCCAACCAAAUAGGAGAGACAACAGAUACAAAGUCCAAAAGCCUUUUGUGUUUCGCUCAUACUUCAUAACGAGGCCUUUUCUUAAAGAUCUAAAGAAGCUCUAAACCUUCUUAUAAGGCUUAAAAGGAAAGGGAUCAAGGGAACGGGGAAAAGCUUAAGAGUAGAAUCAUGGAUAGACCACGACGUGAUCCUAAUCAUUUCAAACGCCCACCAGAAUGUGUUUGGAUUGCAAAUUUAUUUCAAAUAAUAUUUCGCUUGCAUCAUAAACACAUUUUUCAAUCCACCUUCUUAUAUUCCCCACUACUUUUUAUCUCUCAUACAUCAAAUCACAAAAAAUGCUACAGUAAUUAUUCCAAAUAAUAUUUCAAAUAAUACUCUAUCCAAACAUAUUUCAAGCAAUCUGAAAUACUUCAUUAUCGCAACGCGCAAAAUUUUAAUGUGGCGAAGGUUGGGUCUUUCAUACUUGAAAAUGCUACUGCUUUAGAAAUAGUUGUUUGAUUUUUUCUUUUUUUUGACAAAUUUGUCUCAUUAACCCCGCAACGGGACAAUUUUGAUAUGCUCCCUGAUAAGCUUGCACAUCACAAUGGAUGGCGUGUUAAAAAAGAUGAUCAGAUUCAUAAAGAUACAUCAAACGUUUGAAGGGAUUUAGAGUACUCUCUUGUCUUCUUCACUGCUAAGUCAUGCAAAUGAGAGCUGUUUGCAGUCAAACUAGCUCGAAUAGGGUCCAGAAAUGGAACUUAGGACUUCAUGCACUUCGUAGCCACAUGACAAUAUGUAUUCAAAUUCUGAAGUUGGUAACAAAAUUCAAUUAGCAGAACAUUUUUGUUUCAAAACAGAUAAGAAAACUGAAAGGCCAACAGUUGAUGGUUCACUCUGUCUAACUAAAACUAUUUUUGCAAACCUUCAAAACUUUGAAAGAUACAAAAUGGAAUAAAGUGACGAGACAAAUCAGUCUUUCAAUUUCCCUAGAACCAUAUAAGCAGGAGGAAACAUGACUUGACUUUGUUUCACUUUCAAAUAAGAUCCUUCGCAUCCAAACAAUAGCUAAAGAAAAUUGAAGAGCCACCUUAAAUGUCAUAUCUCAAAACGAAAGGGAGGAAAAAUAUUUUCAUCCUUCACAAAAUGACAUGCAUCCAUGAUGAGACCACACCUAGUUAAAACUAGUCUACAAAUAAUAUUUGAGAAAGUACAUCACAUGAUUCUCGAAUAAAUUCGUCUAGAGAUGGCUAAUCUAAGCAGUUUUACGUACAUACAUAUUUAUCAUAUAAAGGCUGCAUUAAAAUGCUCUAGUAAUAUAUCAUAAACCCAGGAACCUAGAAGUCCAAAUGUUUAAGAUCUCUCCAGUCCAAGAAGAAAGCUUUUAACCAUAUUCCAGGGACAUUACCUUCCAAAACCCCAAAGAAAAUGGCCUUGUCAUUGCAGUGAUUGGUGUAAAAGCAACUACAGUGUCCAGAAAAUUGAACAUUAGCUUGUUUUGCCGGCUUAAAACGCCAAGAGAUGCAUUCAUACUCCUGAAAAUAAAAUAAAAACGUGCCCAUUGGCUGUUUAUGAGAAAACUACAAACCAAACAACCAAGCUGAAAGUUGAACAUCAAACUGUCUUUUCUGCAGUCAGUUCUACGGAGCUCGCACACUCCCACAAUUAACAAGGUACCCAUUUCUGUAGAAGAGAAAACCAUAGAGGUAGAGCUCUUGCCAUUCUUUGGUUUAUGUUGUAUUAUUCGUCAGCAUAUAGAUAAUCAUCCAACAAAGGAGGUGCUUCCCGAAAGCAUUCUACAAAGUGUCCAUCUUUUAUCUUUUCCUUUUUUUUAUCUUUUUUUGGGUGGUUCUGACCAAAGUAUUGCCAUAUGCGUCAGAAAAACCUUAGUUGCAAGUUUUCCUUUAAGAGAAAAAAUAAUUAAAACUCCAGAUCAUGAACUUGGCGCAUUAAGAUUCAUCAAAUCUCCAUUACUCUUUAAGCAAGGGUACAAGGCACAGUGUCAGAAAUAGUAACAAUCAUCUCUACACUUAGCUUAGUUCUUCUCAUUGUUGCUCUCCAGCUCCCUCCUAAGCUGCAGCGAGAAGUCAUCAUUUACAUCAUCAUCAUCCCAAUCAUCUUCCCACUGCUGGGUUACUUCUUUGCCUUCCUCUUUGUCCUCCCACUCUGCCAUUUCACAAUAAAGUGAAGAAACGAUUAAAAUACAAGUGCAGACAACGUCUAAUGAACCUAUGCAAGAUCAGAAUCUUCGUUAUCAUCACCAAAACACACAUAUUUAAUAGUAACAAAGAAUUCCAAAUAAUACUGCUAAAUCACUAACCAGCAAAACUGCAAGAAAGUGGAAAUUACAUGUGAAACUUUAGUAGCAUGAGGAAUUGAAUGAGAAUCUCAAUUGAGUGAAACUUAUCAUACGUGUCAAGAUUUACCUCAUUGCGUGCAUUUUACAUCAAAACAUCAAAAAUAAAAGCAAGCAGCUACAGAAUAACAAGAGAGCCAAACAGAACAAAUAAGAAGUUCAAACAGCCGUUAAAACAACCUAAAGUAACAAUGGUUACUCUACAUACCCUAAGAGCAAAAUACAUUUCAGAACUUUCUUGGCCAAACAAAUAUAGCCCUAAAGAUAAACAACAAUUAAGCUCCAACGUGGGGGCAGUUUGAUAAGGGUCCACCUGUCUCAGACUCAAUAAUUAUGCACUUGACAGAAAGAACCCCCCCCCCCCAACAAAAAAAAAGCCCCUUCUUAUCCAGAAUAUCCAGGUAACCAGAGAAACAAUUGGCAUCUUUCCUCCUCUGGAUCCACUUCCUUUCUUUUCCCCCUUUGGUGCUCACAAAGAAACACACACUCCAACUCAACACACUGAACUAAACCCACACUGGUUGACCUGUUGAUAUAAAGAAAGAGGGAGGGGUGUCAAAUGGUCAGGGAGGCUUCGAAGUAAUGGAAGCCUAGCCAUUGUAAAAGGCAAGGGCAGAAAGUCCUGCAACAGUGGUUCAUAGAGGAAGGAAAAGGUAGGAAAAGAGGGGCUGGCAGAUAGAGGGAUCGAUUUAUAACCAAGGAUUCCAGAGGCACUGUAACAAUGGAUAAUUUAGGGCAUCCUAUGAUAUGGCCACAUUAAGUAAAUUUAUGAAGGUUUUCAAUUCAAUUGUUGGCGAGGCCUCAACUUCCAGAGUUCUUUAGCCAUCCUCUAGGUCCUUUGCAAUUAUCAUUCUAAAAAUUUACAAAAAAAGACUACAGAUAUGAGAAAGAAGAAAAAUAGAUGGGUAUAGAAGACCGAAUUGAACUGAAGGGGGAAAAGCUAUGCUAUGAAACCUUGGCAGAGAAUGCAUUGAAUUCAAUUACACCUCAUCAAUUGGACCUUCGUUUUUGUGGUAAACACAUCUUCCCUCUACAAGCCCUUGCUUUUCCCCUUUCAGUGCUUUAAAUUAUUUUUAAAAAUAAAGGACACACACACACAACAUAACCACAGACCCUCCCGCUCACAAGCAGCAUCAUGAACAUCAAUAACAAAGUUCAAUAUGCCCACAAAACAAACACACUCAAACACAACAAGAAAAUACAUACAUGCAGACCCACACAAUACCUGUUUCGAAUGGUCAGGGAGGCAAGGGAAGUGAUGAAAAUCUAGCCACUUUGGAAGGCAGGGGCUGAGUCCUGCACUGGUGGUUUGCAUAGUAAUGAAAAGGGGGGAAGAUGUAUCAAUUUGUAUUUAGCCGAGGGUUCCAGAAGCACCAAAACAAAGAAUAAUUUGGGGCAUCCUACGAUUCGGCCGAAUAAGUGAAUUUACGAAGGUUUUGCAUUAAAUUGUUAGAGAGGCCUCAAUUUCCAGAGUUCUUCACCCCUCUGCUGGGACCUUCACCAUUAUUAUUGCUACAAUUAAUAAAAAAGGAUUAUAUAGAUGUGGGAAAAAAAGAGAGGAUAGAUCUGCAUAAAGGACCGAAUUGGAGUAGAUCCUAGUCGGCGAUCUGGGAUUCCAGAGCUAAGCUAUACAAAGGCAAACUUGGCCAAGAAUGCAUUGAAUUAAAUUACAUCUCGUCCAUAGGAACUUCACUUGUAGUCGAACAGCAAUGUAAGUUAGAUUUAAGAAUGUAAUAAAAUAAACAAAAAAGGAAAAAGAGAGUGCUCAGUGAAUACGAACCAAUAGAAAGAGGUUCACAUUUUGAGAGUAUAUCUCACAAAAUCACUCAGAUUUCCUAUGCUAUCUUCAUUGCAACUCCCUACUCCAAAUUAUCCAGGUAAAGGGAAAAAACAUUUGACAUCUUCCCUCCGCCACAUCCCGUUCCUUUCGUUUACCCCUUCAAUGCUCACACAGGAACACGUUAAAACAGACAUGCCUACAGACCUCCCUCUCACAAGAAGAACCAAAAACACUAAUAACAGAGUUAGAAAUGUCACAACACAACACAAACGCACCAAAACACACACAAAAUGUAUACAUGCAGAGGCUACACAUGUUCACCUGUUCAUAAAAGAAAUGGGGUAUCAAAUGUUUCGGGAGGCUUGGGAAAUUAUGAAGGUCUAACCAACUUGAAAGGCAGGUGGCUGAAUACUGCAGUGGUGGUUAGCAGAGGAAGGAAAAGGCAUAAGAAAGGGGCCUGCAGCUAGAAUCAGAGGACGAAAGGGGCUGGCACCCAGAAGGAUCAAUAGACAAGGAUUCCAGAAGUACCAAAACAAAGGAUAAUUGGUACAUCCCACAAUUCGGCCCAAUAAGCAAAAUUACAAAGGUUUUACAUUCAAUUGUUAGAGGGGCCUCAAUUACCAGAGUUUUUUACUUUUUUACCCCUCCACUGGGACCUUUGCUAUUACUAUUCCUAGAAUUGACAAAAAAAGGGAAAGAUUAUAUAGACAUGAGAAAGAAGAAAAAUAGAUCAGCAUAAAAGGCCAAAUAUGAGUGAAUCCAAGACGGCGAUCUGGGAUUCCAGAGCUAUGCUAUACGAAGGUAAAUUGGCUGAGAAUGCUUGAAAUUGAAUGACAUCUUAGCCAUAACACCUUUGCUUUUGUAGUUGGUGAUUUGCAGGUCAAAAUGCAAGAUUUGAGAAAUUGUAAUAAAAUAAACAAAAAGGGAAAAGAAGAGUCCUGAGUAAAAAUACGAACCAACAGAAAGGUCCAUGUUUUGCAAGAACAUCCAACAAAAUCACUUAAUUUCUUAUGCAAUACUUUAUCAUGACUCACUACUCCAGACAACCCAGAUAAAGGGAAAAACAUCUGGCAUCCUCCCUCCUCCGCAUUCCCUUCCUUUCUUUUCCCCUUCAGUGCUCACAAAGAAACAUGCUACAAAUAACAUAUCUACAGACCCUCCCUCACCAGAAGCACCAUGAACACUAUUACUAGACCUGGAAUAAGUCUAAAACACACACACACACACACACUGAAACAUGCGUACAUGCAGACCCAGACACGUUAAGCUGCUCAUAAAAAGAAACAGAGGAAGGGGUGUCAAAUGUUUGGGAGGCUUUGGCUAGUCAUGAAUGCCUAGCCAUUUUGAAGGCCAAGGGCUAAAAGUCCUGAAGUGGUCAUUCGCACAAGCAAAAGGGAGGAAGAAAGGGACCGGCAGGGAUCAAGAUCAACAUAUAUAUAGCUGAGGGUUCCAGAAGCACCAAAAUAGAGAAUCAUUUGGAGCAUCCUACGAUUCAGCCAAUAAGUAAAUUUGCGAAGGUUUUGAAUCAACUCGUUAGAGAGGCCUCAAUUUGCAGAGUUCUUUACCCCUCCGCUGGGACCUUCACAAUUAUUAUUCCAAGGGUUGACAAUAUACAUAUACAUAUAGAUGUAGGAAUCGAAAAGAUAGAUCUGCAUAAACGACCGAAUCAGAAUGAAUCCAAGUCGCAGAUCUGGGGUUCCAGAGCUAUGCUAUCCGAAGGCAAACUUGGCCAAGAAUGCAUUGAAUUGAAUUACAUCUCGUCCAUAGGACCUUCAGUUUUGUAGUUGGUGAAUCAUGAGUGAAAAUGUAAGAUUUUAGAAUUUGUAAUGGUAUUCAAAAAGAAAGAGGGAAAAAGAGAGUGCUCAGUGAAUACGAACCAAUAGAAAGAGGUUCACAUUUUGCAAGAACAUCUUGCUAAAUCACUUGAUUUCCUAUUCUAUCUUCAUUGCAACUCUUUCCCCAGAAUAUCCAGGUGAAGAAAAAUUCUUUGAUACAUGUAAAAUACUAAUUAACAAUAACAGUCUCACACAAGAAAAAAAAAACAUAGAAUCACCAAGAAUCAAUUUACAUCUUACAGGCAUCAAAAUCUCGAAACAAACUGCAUUCGGUAAUUAAUAUAUACAACACAAUAACCUAACCUAUCUAUGACAUCACUUUGCAGUGCCAUAUAUUCAUCUACUGUGCAGACAACACGUAUUCAUAUAGCAAAAACCAAUCAAACAGGCGGAAAUAAAAAUGUUCAAAGUAUUUACUUUGACUAAAAAAAACCGAAGAUUACGCUGAAAUCAGAACAACAAGAAACUGGACAGUGAUUAGAGGUAAAAAGUCAAGCAAGGGAGUUGACAUACCCUGAUCAAUUUCAAACUCCUCAAAUUCAUCGUCGUCUUCAAAAAGAUCAAUCUUCGCGUCCUCGGUAGCUGCCUUUGGUUGCUCAGUAGUUGCCAUUGUCAGUCACUCAAAGCAAAACUACACAUCAAAUUUUUCAUAAAUAUAAGAAAUGUACAGAUCGUGGGUAAAUAACCUAUGUUGCCAUCAAAGCCCUAGUUCAGAAAAUAAAUAAACAAAUCGAAAAAAUCAAACCAAAUAAUCAACUAAUCAGCUAACUAGUUAAUAUAUCAGUCAACACAACCAACAGACAUCGAGACUGCAAGCAAAAAUCGAGCAAAUGAAACGAACGUAUGACUUCCAUCACCGCGAAGAGGAAUUUGGAGAAAUAUAAAAUCAGAGCAUCCUUAAAAUAUGUAAAAAUAUGGAAAUACGAAGAAAAAUGAAUCGAAUAAAAGACAGAUGUAAUUACCUUACCAGCGUAUACUUGGUUCUUCGAUCCUAAAACCAAAAAAGAUCGGAUAAAGAAGAACCAGAGAUUAGCACAGCAAAUCCAAUCGAAGUAAGGUAGUCGAGAACGGGGUGUUUUGAAUGAAGCGGAAGGGGGGCUAGGGUUUUGAGAGGAGCGUACCUGAAAAAUCUGGAGGAAUCUUGUAGAUGGGGAAAGGAAUUAGGUCAUAAGCAAGUUUAUAUACUCUUUUUGCAAAAUCCAAAAAUGUUUUUUUUCUCACUCUCCUCCUCCCUAAAGGUUAUUCUAGAUUGAAUAAUUUUUUGUUGGCCCUAAAAAGGAGCAAAAGUUUUCAAUUAAGCUCCUAAAAGUGAAAAUGUUGUAAUUUGGCUCUUAUGAUACAUUAAAAUUGACCCUAACUUUAUUGACAAUACCGUUAUUGAUUGUAAAUCAACAAUCAUGCUCCCAAUGAGUUGAGAAGCUGAAUAUUUUUUAAUGAAGAAGCUGAAUAAUCACUCAUUAGGACUUUUAACAAUAUCUUGCAUGAUCAAAAAAGGAAAUAUAAGCUUGUAUAAGUUGAAAAUUUUUUAGAACAUUUUCGUUGGAGGUAAAAUUGAAACAUUUCUAGUUUUUGGGGCUUUAUUAAUAUUUUAUUAAUUACUUUGCCUGAUAAAUAUGAUGUAACUUAUUUGUUAUAUAGCGGAUUUGACUUCUCUUCAAUGGAUACUCUCUUCAUUUUUCACAGUGUACAUAUCUUCAUUUAUUAAUAAGAGUUAGGAUUAGUCGAACUUAAAAUGAUUAUGUCUCUUCCUAAUAAUGAAAACAUGUUAUGCAUCUAGAUGUACACUGUAAAAUAUGGAAAGAGAAUCCACGCGAGAGGUGCCAAUUCCGUGGUAAAAGUUGAUUAUACUAAGUGAUCUACAAAUUUGUGAAGUAAAUUACUACUCACAAUGUAGGGAAAAUUUUAAUGUAGCUUGAAUUUUGGUACCCUUUUUAUCAACCCUACUACCCUAAACUUUGUUAGAUUUAUACAUCUUCCCACUUAGCCGUUGCAUCUAUUUCAUUUUCCGUUUCUAAGGGAAUGCUUGAUUCAAGUUUAGGAAUUGGAAUUGUAAUUGGAAUCAUGACCAAAAUUUGAGUAUGGGUUCUGAUCAAGGAUAUCAUUAUAAUAACUAGUGUUUGGUAUAUACUUAUAAGCUUUUGGAAUCAAUUUUUUUUCGUUUUCUUGUCUUUAUUUUUUUUUCUUCUUUCCCAUUUCCUGCUUCCUUCUUCCUAGCCUUUAAAUACUCAUGCUUCACCAAAUUCUCUUGAACCACCACCAAUCAACUUUACAAUUUGUGGAGCAUGGGAGAGCGAUUGACAAGAGAUAAGAGAAAAACUUACAUAAAAAGAAAAAAAAAAGAGAGGAGAGAAAACCAGAUGGAGAGGAGCGAUUGUCGUGGAGGAUUGUAGGAGAGAGGAAGAGAGUGAAAAGAGAAGAAAAGGGAAAAUGAGAGAGAGAUUGACAAGAAAGGAGAGAGAACCAAAUGGGAGGGGGGCUGCUGCCAUGGAGGAUUGGAGGAGAGAAUGAAGAGAAAAGAAAGAGAGAAAAUGAUGGUGAUGGGAGGCUGCCGUGAAAGAUGGGAUGAGAACGAAAAAAUGAAAGAGAAAACAUGAUGGUAAGGUGUUGCCAUGAAAGUUGUGCCAACGUCAUAUAAUGAUGAAGACAAUAUGUUUUCUUUUCUUUUUUGAAGUUUUCGAGUCAAAUUGAGUUAAAUUUGGGAAUCCUCCAAAACCCUCCAAUUUAUACGGGAUUGAGAACUACCAAAUUUUAAUGAUUUAUUCCAAGAUUUUGAAUCCAAUACAUGUAACCCAAACAACAAGAAUUGGUAUUAUUUCAGUUCUUGAUUCCAAUCCUCUUUUACCAAACGGCACCUAAGUUUACUUAACACUAGUUUCCAGCAAAAGUUCAUUGUGUUAGGGUAGUUAGGCCUUGUUCUCUAAUGAUUUUCAAGACUUGAUUCUAGAUUUUAAUUUUGGAAAAGCUAUUCUAUUGCGUUCUUAACUGUUUUUCAUAUGUUGAUUAGUUACUAUCAAGUAUCAAUCAAGCCAUUUAGUCAAAUGCAAAGACCAGUAUAGCAACAAAAAUACCAAAUGGUUUUAAUGAUCUUUUUUAUGGCUGGCUAAUCGAUCGAUACCAAUGGGGUUUAAAAAUCAAUGUUUGAUUGUCUUUGAAACUAUGUUCUUGGAUGCACAUUCAUGAUUGGAAUUCAGUACUUAGGAUGUAGAGUGAAGACUUUAAGGUCUUUAAUCUGCUAAUUUUAAUGAUGAUAAAUAAGUCAUGAGAUUGUUUUAGAACGUAAGAGUGAAGACGACGUUAAGGUCUUUAUUCUUAAUUUUGAUGAUUAACAAACAAAUUAUGAGAUUGUCUAAAAUGUCAAAUCAGAACGUGAUAGAUGAAAGAUUUGUCUAACAGAUCUAGAAACAGGAAAAUGGCGCACCAAAGAAACGAAAAGGAUUGAAUGUGAAGCUUCAUUCUUGCUAGCAAAAAUGCUUAAAAUUGAAGUUAGUAGAAAGCGCAGGUAAAGUGACAAAACGUUCACAAGUUUACUGAAUCUUAGAAAAGGUGAUUUUUAUGGAUUAUAUAUGUAGCAGAAAAGCACCUUAAAUUUGGCGAACUAAUUUUCAAUUAAUUGUACCCAAUUUAUACAUCUUUAUUCUUCCAAAAUUGGUCUUCAUUUAAGUCUUAACAAGUAUCAGGAGCUGUAGUUUGUAUAUUCAUACCGUUGAGGGUGCUACUGAGCUUUUAUUUGCAAGUAUAGGCUUUGAAGAUUGCUGCUAUCAUUGAUAAUAAUCAACCUUGCAUUCUAAUGAAGACUAUGGAAAAUUUUCUGAAAGGAGAUUACAAAGUAUGCUCUAUAUAUAUAUGUAUGUAUAUCACAAGCAAAUAAAGAAUGAUUAAUUACAAAGUCUCAGCUCUUGAAAAUUCGAGCUAUUACAGGAAAAUCAAACCGUGUGAAGAAAAAAAUUGGAAAGCCAUCUAGUUCACUAAGGAUAUAUACAAAUGUGUUGAAUUCAAGAAAGUUUAUCAUGCUUUACCGAACAUGAACAAACUGUCCAGGCAGAACUUGUCUGAUCGAACCAGAAGAGCUUGUUUCGCCGAAUUUAUGCAGGAUUUUGAUAAGGGAUCGAGCUUUCUUGCCUGCAAGACUUGUUCCUUCAGUCACAAGUGAAUAAAGAGCAGGCAUGAGUGAUUGAUCUUUUGCUAAAACUGAGAUAACAUCUGCUCCACAAUUUAGGCACAGAGAGUGCAGAAUUGAAAGACAGUACUCCUUUCCUGCUCGAGAUGUUGUUGAAUGCAAUAGCCCCAAAACUGUAGGUAAGGCUGAAGAUUCAAGAAUCUUGGAUGAGCCAUUAACACUGUCGGCCAAUGUUGCGAGGACUGCUAAUGCAUCUGUUGUAAGCUCUACUUUUUCUGAAAUAGCUAAAAGAUUGACCAGUGCUGGAAUUGUCCCUGCUGCAAUCACCCUCUGAUGAUUUCUGUGGGACAAAAGCAGCCCGAAAAUCGCAACUACGGCAUUCUUUUUCCCACAAGUAGCACCAUCUUUGAUGAGCUCUACCAAAGCUGGAAUUGCAUCAGGUGUUUCUCCAAUCAGUUUACGAUAUUCAUGAACUGAGGCUAGGUAGAAAAGUGUUGCAGCUGCCGUUUGUCGAGCUUCCAUUUUGAGUCCGUUUCUGAGCACUCUGAGAAUCAAUUUCAAGCCCCAAUUCUCCAUGAUUUCUUUCGUACCACUGGAAUGCUUUGACAGCUUCAAUAAAGCAGACAUUGCAUUCUCUUGCAUAGAUGGAUUCUUAGAGUUAAGUAGUCCUAAAAGUGGGGGAACAGUUCCAGCUUCAAUCAUGCAAGACCUGUUGAAAAUGUUUGAUUUUGCCAGCAAACGAAUCUCGUAGGCAGCCUUGUUCUUUUGAUCAACAGUCCCAAAACAUAGCCGGCAAGCAAGGAAAUGAGCAAGGAAUCUAAUGGCUUCUGCGGCAGCAGCACUUCCUGGUACAAUCGUCCUCGAUACAUCGCGAUUUUUCUUCCUUGAUUUAGCCAAAGAAAUCCCAUUAUCAGCACAAAACUGCUGGAUAAGUUUCAGCAAAGCCGAAUUUGGCACCAAUUCUGUGCUUGUCAGCUUCUCCCCCGUUUUGGGACAAAUGAGAUGCCCUGAUCCCAACCAUUUCUGUAUCGAAAUUCGAUCAUACGUCUGCCCAGUUGACACAGUUACUGGAUCAGUCAUCAGCUCCAAUGAUAUGGGACACCUGAAGUCCUCAGGAUUCAAACAAGUCAGAGUUUCCAAGCUAUGUCUCCCAUCAUCUGAUUGAUCCGAAUUUCCAUAAUCAUAAUCCUCAUACAAAACUCCCCUGGAAUAACACAGCAGCCCAACUAAACUGCUCAAUAACGGCAACUCUCUCACAUUUCCAUCAUUUAAUUCCAAUCUGAUCUCUUCCUCUAAAAAUUUAAUCUCCUUUUGACAAUCAUUCCAACUUCUGAUAUCAAGAAAAUCAAGAACUUUCUUGAUAACACACCUCUCAGGCUCAAAUCGGUUCUCAAAUUGAUUCGAUAUCACAAUAACCCUCUUCAGUUCUUCCUCAUCCUCAAUACCAAUCUCCACUUUUGCCUUCUGUGAUUGCUUUGCUACUAAUUCCACGAGCUCCUUAACUUCGCGUGACAAAUCAAUAGAUUUCAGUGGAAGUACAUCAAGAGCAGUAGCCAUUGCUCUUACCAAAACCCGAAAUUGAGUCGUGAUAAAAUGCGAUUUCGUCAGUAUCCACAAUCUAGCUCCUUCUCUCGUGCAAUCCUCCAACAAAAACUCAAUUUUCUGAAACGUAAGAUGAAGUUCAGAAAAGCAGAGGACAAAGGAGCUGGACAAGCUAGGAACAUGUUCUCGAAUUUCCUCGAAAAACAUCAAAAGAAUCCCAAUUUGGCGAAUCACUUCGCGGGCAUUUUUCCUUUGGCUUGGGAUAUAUUUGGAUCGGAAACUACAUAUCCUACCAGAAAGAUUUAUUAGCGACUCCAGAAGUAUCCCUGGAGAUAUCCCUUCACAUGGAUGGACAGCCGGAAAUGUCAGAAUCCGGCGAUCACUCCGAUCAAACCGUUGAAUCAUUGGAAAUUUACAAACAAAGUUAACAAAUUUGUUUGUAUGAUCAAUGAAUUUUGUGUUGUUUGUUGUGUUAGUUGAAAUUUUAAGUAUGGUCUGUUUUAGGAAGGUAAAUAUAAGAUUUUUGUGGGAAGUUUCUGUUGGUGUAUCCAUAUUGAGAAGGAUUUGAAUGAUUUGAUUUUUAAUCGACACGUGGCAUUAGAAUGUGUGGUCUUUUGACUUUUUAAAUUUCUGCGUGGACUUUUGGUGGGACCGUAGUGAGGUGACCUUGGCAGUGAGGUGUACCAUACACGUGGAAUGGAUACGUGUGCACUAGGGAUUGGUGGAUAGUGACUUAAUAUAAAGGCUAUAUUACAGAAUAUAAAAAUUUUAUGUGAAUAACAUUUUCAUUUUUUUCCGAUAAAUAAUAGCAUUCCUAUAUUUGGCCACUAAAUAAAACAAAAAAAUUCCUAUUUGUAACAGUGAUAAUCUACAUUAAUGCGUGCAAAUAGACACGUGUAACUAGUACUAGUAUAUUGCGCAGCAAGCAAAUCUACACGAGCUCAUUUGAGAUGAAAAUGAGUAAAAAGUAUUUUUAUGUAAAGAUAUGGUAGGUUUAUGUGCAUGUAUAUAAUGAUUUUAUAAAGUGACAAUCACGUUUGACUUACAUAAAGUUAUUUCCAAGAAAUCUUACAUAUAAAACGCGUCUAUACUUUACACAAUCACUUGUCACACAUAUGAAGUCAUUUUAAAGAAAUUUGAUGUUGUAGAAACCAUUUAUUUAACAAAUCAUUUCAUACCUUCUAAUCUCUCUAACUUUUACUUUCUAAGCUUCUUACUUCAUAAUACCGUGAGGGGUGAUAUUUAGGUGUAUUAACACGUAAUUGAUCAAUCGAUUUACUUUUUACACACGUCUUUCUAAAAAUCAGAGUAUAUAUGGAAUAAAAAAUUAAAGAAAAUAAGAUAUUUUAUCGAAAUUUACUAUAGAGGUCUCUUACAGAAAUUCUUACAGAUCAUCCAUCAUAAGUCAUUUAUAGAAUUUCUUAUAAAUCGCCCACCAACACAGUUCUCACAUCGAAUAGCAAAAUUCGAACACACGAUUUUUUUUACGAGAAAAUAACCCGUUGAUGCAAAUUAAAUUUAACUUGUGUUGCCAUUGAAUCGAACGUGGCUGAUUACAGUGGAUUUUACACGUAGGAAGUAGGCGUGUUACACGGUUUACAUUUUCAUUUGUGCAGCUAACCUGGAGACUGAUAGGCUGAUAGGAGGAGGGCAGUUUUUUCCUUCUUUUUUUUAAUAUUUGAUGUUUGGAUAAAUGAUUGGACUGAGUGAAGGUUCCUUGAGGUCAAUCUCAUGUGGGUCCAAGAUUUGGCCGACACUGGGGGCACGUGGAUGUAUCAGGACACCGUGACUUGCAGCGUCAGGCGGGGGGAAAGUCCGCUUAAAUUCAUGAAGCAGUGCAGCCGACAAGGAAUAGAUUAUGGAUGUUCCAAGGCAAAAAGCUAUGGCCUUUGCUUCAUGCAACGGAGGAGAAAAGUCAUUUUCGCACCAUGAUCUUCCGGCAGAAGGUAUAUCCCAUCCCGGAUCCCGUUGGGAUACUACGCUAUUGUUGGAACAAAUUGUAUGGUGCAACUGACGGUGUAAAUAUAUUUAACUUGAAUUUAAACGAAGGAGAUCGAUUGCAAGGCAUUUUGAUACGUUACUAUUAGCCGUUGGCUCACACUUGGACAAAUUCGAUUUCUAAAAAUUCAAUAAUUUAAAUUGUACCACACCAUCUCACCAAAUGAUGUAGUUAUUUGUCACCAAAUGGUAUAGUUAUUCUGUGUACAUUUGUUGGGGUAGUUAUUUGUUGUAUUCUUCACGUUGUUGGUUUGGUGUCUCAUUUUGUUGUGCAAUUAAUGGAUGGUGCAAUUGAACCUGGGAAUUGCAGAAGUUUGGAAUUUGAUAAGGAGCUCUACUAUCUAGUUGUGAUUGUAGAAUGCAAUUAAUAGUGGGAUAUUUAUUUGAUCUGAAAUUAAAUGGAUAGGAUUGACUUUCAGACACAAUUUUCAGUAUAUAUUAAAAUUUGUUAUGUUUUUACAUGAUUUUAUUCUAGUACCGGACUAAUCACCCUGUACCUGAAAUACCCCGCCCCUAAGAGCACCCAGGCGUUAAGAGAGGUUUGAACCUGGACCUUGGAAUUUGGAAUUUGAUAAGGAGCUCUACUAUCUAGUUGUGAUUGCAGAAUGCAAUUAAUAGUGGGAUAUUUAUUUGAUCUGAAAUUAAAUGGAGAGGAUUGACUUUCAGACACAAUUUUCAGUAUAUAUUAAAAUUUGUUAUGUUUUUACAUGAUUUUAUUCUAGUAUAUACCUUUAGUGUUUCAGUUUGUACAUAUUGUUUAGUGCACACACUAUACGUGCAUAUAUAUAUAUAUAUAUAUAUAUAUAUAUAUAUAUAUUGUCAAUACAGGGUGUAUCCCAAUUUUGCCUGACUAAUCACCCUGUACCUGAAGUACCCCGCCCCUAAGAGCACCCAGGCGUUAAGAGAGGUUUGAACCCUGGACCUUGGAAUUUGGAAUUUGAUAAGGAGCUCUACUAUCUAGUUGUGAUUGCAGAAUGCAAUUAAUAGUGGGAUCUUUAUUUGAUCUGAAAUUAAAUGGAUAGGAUUGACUUUCAGACACAAUUUUCAGUAUAUAUUAAAAUUUGUUAUGUUUUUACAUGAUUUUAUUCUAGUAUCUACCUUUAGUGUUUCAGUUUGUACAUAUUGUUUAGUGCACACACUAUACGUGCAUAUAUAUAUAUAUAUAUAUAUAUAUAUAUAUAUAUAUAUAUAUAUAUAUAUAUAUAUAUACAUGCAAUUUUUUUGAGUGCAAGAUUGUGAGUUAAAUUACAAUGAUAACAAUUUUAAAUUUCUUAAUGUGAAAUUUAUUUUCAUUUAUUUCAUUCUAGCUCUAGAAAAUCCCAUGUUGCAAUUUUUAGUUUCUAGGACACUAACAACUAGUUAGGGAGAUGAGAUUUGAGUAGAAAAGUAAAGAAAAGGAAGAGAAAUCCAUAUCUUUCUCAUGUUUGGGACUUCUAGAUAGUGUUUGUUUGCCAGUAAAAGAGUAGGAAAGUGAAGGAAAAUAACUUUUCUGCAAGUUUUGAAUGUUCGUUUUUUAGGAAACUUAUGGAACCCACCACAUAAAAUUUUUGUGUAACCACUUAUUGUGCUAUAGAAUUUUUCCUACAGAAAUCAAUAGGAAAUGUGAGUUGCGGAAAAGUUUCAACUAGUUAGAUUUUUUACAACUCCUUUCUUUCUAAACUAUUUUUUCCAUUCUUAACUUCAAAAUAAAUUAGAAAAACUUAGAAUUCACAAUUCAAAAAAUUGGCUUGUGGUUAGAUAUUUUAUUCUUAAUUUAACAAUUAAUGGAUUAGUAGUUUGUUGGAUUUACAUGACAUUAGUAUUUUUUUUCUUUUACAUUUUAUGCUUCUUUUUAUGUUUAUAUAUUUUGUGAACUCUUAACCUAGAAGGGAUUCUAAAGUCCCAUUUGAUAAUCAAAUUCAAUCCCUAAAUUUAAUGAAUUCAGACGUUAUAACAAAAAAUAGAAUGCUUAAUUAAUUAAGUAGUUCGGAAUUGUUUAACCAAAACUUAUUCAAAACAAUAAGUGAUAGGCUCUCCCACCUCAAUAAUUGAUGAAGUGUAUAUAUGAAUGUAAUCAUUUCAAUUUUUUGUAUGGACGAACCUUUUAUGGGAUUGAAAAUGCCAUUUUUUUAUUAUUAAGAGUAUGAAUUCUCUAAUCAUCUCUCUUGUCUUUUCUUAAAUAGAAUUCUUUAAUCAUACGUUCUUGUAUCAAUGAACCUUAUGACUGAACCUUCUAUGGGACUACAUUUAAUUAUAAACUAUAACAACACUCGGAAUUAUGAUAAUGUAGAAUGAAUUUCCCGUGAAGGAAUAAUGCAUUUCAUGCCAAAUCCAUAAAGAAACUAAUGUAGCCCUUAUCUAUAUAUGACAUCGUUCUAUGGACCAAAAAUUUUAAGAUUAUUUGAUUAGCUUUGAUUCAAUAUAUUACUAUUAUCCUCCUUGCAGGGUCUGCAAAUUUCAUUGGCUUAAUCAACAUCUAUUUUUUCUCUCUUUUUUUUUUAAAAGAAAAUGUUAGUAAUUGAUUUUUUUAAUAUAAAAAAUGAUUGUUCAAAGUACCAAGGCCUUUACCUUUCUUGCAAAUACAUAGGUAAACUUAAUCUUGCAGACCAUUGCUUUAAGUAAUUGUACAUAUAUGUAUUAUUAUUUGUACCUCAUGCAGGAAUGCAAGUUUCUAAAGCAUGUUGAUUUGCAAACAGGUGUACCUAAAUACUUUUCGUACAUCUACUAGCUAUGAAGCAAGAUUUACAGGUCUUUAAAUCAAUUGUCGGUUUAAGCUUCUAUAGUUGUGGCAUGAUAAAAAUAACAUUCCAAUUCGUGAGCUAUUGCAUCAAGUUUCUUACGUACAUAUUUCACGUUAGCACUCUAAUUUAUGACUUUACUUGCCAACAAAAUUUUAUGCAGGUGUCAAGCUUAUGUUUAAGAUAUUCAUCCACCUAGCACAAGGACGGAACUAGUGGGGGCCGCGGAAGGACUAAGUUUUAGAUAUUUAUAAAAAAAUUUUAUGUGUUUUUUACUAUUUGCCCCCCCCCCCCCGCCCCCCAAAAAUUUAAAAAAAAGUCCUAUAUAGAUUCAAAAGUUUAUAUGCACACGUAUUUCAUCCCCGAAUUAAAAUUUGUGAUUCCAUCUAGGGAUGCAUUCAAAUCGAGUUAAGUUUAAGUAGUACACUACUCGAACUUGAUUCGGGAUAAAAUAAUUGAGUUCAAACUCGAAUUCGAAUUCGUCAAACUUUUAGAAGUUAAGUUCAAGCUAGAACUCGACUUCAGUUUACCUCACUCGAGUUUGAACUUGACCUCAAGUUUAAUUAAAUCUAAUCGAAUUAAAUCAAGUUCGAUCGAGCUUAUUUGAGUGUAAUCAAGUUAAAUUGAACUUAUUCGAGUCUAAUCAAGCUCAUGUAGUAAAAAUUAAUAUUUUACAUAUAAUUUUAAAUAAAGGACAUUAUUGACAUCUCAUAAUAAUAAAUGUAAAAAAUUAAAAAAUAUAUAUUAUAAAAAACUCAAUUAGACUUAUCGAGAUUUCGAAUACAAAAUAUUAGAACUCGAAUUCAACUAAUAAGUUCACACGAGUGGCUCGAACUUGAGGUUGAACUUGAUCAAAACGAGCUCGAUUUAAGUUAUUGAAUCGAGUUAUUUGGUUUAAGCAUCAUCUCUAGUUCCAUCCCUAGCCUAGCAUAUCACUGUUUCCUCUAGAAAAUUCUUUUUUCUAGAGAAUUCCAUUCAUAAUGCUGACACUCGCAAGGCUUGUCCUCGUUUAAUUUGAUAGAUACUGAUGACCAUUGGAAAAUCAUAGGCGUGAAAAGGUCCCAUUCUAUGGUGCCAUUUUUCCUUUUUAAAGUUUAACAUUUUCCGUGGUGGACCAAUAAGCAUUAAUCAGUUGGACUUGAUUGGUUUCUCUUAUUGAUUACGAGAUCUACGCUUCAAACACCACCACAAAAAACAUAUAGGGAAACGCUUUAAAAUUUUAGGAGUGUUAAUAUAGCAGCUGUUGAGUGGGUACUUAUUAAUAUUAAUUUCUGGUGUUAGUUUUUUAAUAAGGUGAAAUAAAUCAAAGUUAGAAUCUAAAUGUUAGAGAAAUAACAAAUGUGAACAUGUCAAUGCAAUUAAGCAUAUUAAUAGAUCGGGUCUUAUCCAAAUUUAACAUAGACCCAAUAUACUUGAGUGGGUUUGGAUUUAAUUUUUCAAAUUCAGACCCUACCCAAACCUAGAUCUUGUGAGAGAGUUAUGGUUCUGGGUAGGAUUUAGUUUUUUAGAAUCCAUACCCAAAUUUAGAUCUAUACCAAGUCAUAUCCAGAUUUAGACCCAUACCAAGAUUUCGUUUCAUUAGAAAUCUUGCAAAAUAUUUCUUUUGCCCUACCAUCUCUUGUAUUGUCUUUACUAUUUUCGGCUAUUACAAUUGCAUUAGAAUCUACAUUUAAUGUUGGUGGUAGGAUAAUUGAUGAGAUUCAUGCUAAUUUGCUUCCAGAUGUGGUUGAAGUAUUAGUAACUAUUGAUAAUUGGAUUGAAUCAAAGAAAAAAGAUGAGUAAGUAUUUAUAAAUCUUCUUAUUCUAUUAUUUAUUUGCUAUCGGUUCUUAGUCAAAUGAUUUUUAUCUCAUUCAUUAUUGUAGCGUUGGAUUGCAAGAGAUCUAUCUACAUUGGGGCUUAAAUAAGAUAAAGAGGAACAAAAUUAUAUAUAUAUUUAAUAAGGCUAAAUAUUUAUAUAUGUUAUAUUGAUUUCUAUUUUUCAAACUAAUUCUAGUUGUUAUUAUAAUUUGUACAAACUGUUCAGGAAAAGAAGAAAAAAUAAAGACAAACAAAUAAAAGAUUGGACGUGGAUGUAGUUGAAAUUCUGAAAAUAUAGAGAAAGUAGUCAAUGGUAGUUCUUUCUUUGAGUUCAUAAAAUUACAUUCAACUUGUUGAAUAUUAAUUUCAUCAUUUGAAAACAAAACUUGGACGGUAUUUAUAUUAUUUAUUAACUCUAUAUACUUUUAAUAUAUUUUUAUUUUAGUAUGUUCAAAAAAUACUCACAUAUAUUUAUUGGAUACCCAGAUCCAUAAGGGUCUAGAUCUAGAUUUAGCAUGUGUUUGAUAAAACUAAAAUCUAAUAACUGAAAUCUGAAAUCUGAAGUUUAAAUUCAUUAAUUCAUUAAAUUCUUGAGUAUCAAAUUUAUUAUAUGUGAGUGUAUAUCACAUUCAGUAAUAAAUAAAUCUCUUAUCACUUAAUUUUGGAGCAAGUUUUAUCUAGGAAAUUCAGUGAUACUUAAUUAAUUCAGAUGUUUAAUUUUUGGUAAUCAAACGCGUCUGAAUAGAUGGAUCUAUUAAAUUUAAGUGUUGAAUUGAGUUAUCAAACAUGACCUUACUUUUUCAUACCCGUAAAGGUUUGGGUUUGAGUAUACAUAUAUGUGUGUAUUGGAGAGUGCAAGUGAGAGAACUUGAGUUCAAACUCCUGUAAGUAAGAGGUAUCGAGUUUGAACUCUUUCAUUUACACUGAAAAAAAUAUACGUGUGUAUGUGAAACAAGAUACUCAGCUCGAAAAUAAUUCGAGAGAGCUGUCUCAUCAAUAACACUCAUCAUUUAUUCCGAACAUGUUUUGAUUGGAGACAUGGGCAUCUACACUGACAAUCGCUAGCAUCCUAAGAAUUUUUCUAAACUGAAUAUGUACCGACCACUUAUGUGAAAGCUGAAAAGCCCCUCGCAUCCAAGUUAUCAAUCCAUCUGUUUAUGAUCCGAACUUAUGACGUGUACGUACAUAAACCAUUGAUAUUUUUCCACUUUAAGGGACACAAUUGAUCUCUGGCCCGCCCUAGAGGAUUAAUUAAAAUAGAUUUUACUCUAUUAUAUUUUUGAAGAAUGCUAAACAGAAAGGAUUCUAUAAGCUGUAAUGCCAUCCUCACGUGAAAAUUUGAGAUAUGAACCGGGCUCAUAAAAGAAUAAACAUUUGUACAGAAUACAUGAAAAGUGUACGUUCCAGAGUAGUAUGAUUUGAAAUUAUACCCAUGCAAUUGAUAGUUGAGUAUAACGGUCAAUUAAUAACACAAGUUAUUAUAUAUAUAUAUCGCUGUAACGAUAAUAUUUUUAUAAUCUAAUUUAUCCAUUUUUAAAGGGAGGGAUGCUUAAAGAAGCUUCGCCGUUAUUAUAUAUUACCUCUGUAUGUAUUUGUGUAUUGCGUAGUACAAUUGAGACUUGACAGUUGCAGAACCCUAAAUCGGAUUAUUUGAUAUGAAAGAUGAAAUUUCAUGCUGACAAAGCAGGGAUGACAAUGAAUACAGAAAUAGUAGGGUAAUUGCUUGAGGUGGACCAAUAAUGUAUCCACAUGUAGCAUGAACUAAUUUGUCUCUCUAUUAGUAGUCCAUUAUCUAUUGUCUAAUCAAAACCUAUUCAUACCAUUAUCAUUGUUUACUUGUCUUAAACACCAAGAGUCCUCCUUGAGCAUGCAAUCUCAUUAUUUGAUAGCUCAAACUUAAUGGUCCAAUAAAGGGGCAUGGAGCCAUCAUUAGAGAAUAAUAAUUAUAUCUUCUGCAGAGGAUGGAGGACAAGUGGAAUGUUGAUUUGAAUUUUUGCACAAUAAAGUAUUUGGAGGAAGAGCUAAACCUAAGAAGGAAAGUGAGAGAUAAGAUGAUGAAGUCAAUUUUGGUCAUAAGCAAAGUUUGCUUUUCAAGUAAUCAUCUCCUAGCUGCCACAUCUUCCAAUGAACACGAAGAAACAAGAUAAACUAAUCAUGUUCUUAGUCCAAAGAUAGACAAAACAAUCCACAUUAGAAUAUUGAUUGAGAACAUACCCACAUGAGCAAGAGUUCAAAGAAUAAGGGGUUUGAUUAAUUUGGAACCUAAUUAAUCAAUAGGUUUGAUUGAUUGGGUUUAUUAGGACCCAGGUUCUUAGAAAUAGAAUAUGUUGCCAAAUUCUUGGCAUAACAUCAUCGAACAGUUAUAUGACUCAUGCUUGGAUAGAGUCGAUCUUCAAAAAUUCAAUGACCCAAAUUGUGCCACACUAUCUCAUAAGAUAUGAUGUGGUACAAUCUGAACCAUUCAGUUUUCGAAGAUCAGGCCUAUCCAAGUUUUGGCCCAAUUAUGUAUAGCAUAAAACAGAUCUUGCAGUUACCUUAUCUGAUGUUUCUAUCAGCUAAAGUUAGGAAAAUUUUCUGGAACACACAAUUGUAGUUGGGAAAUCCAGUUUAAAUUAGAUUGCUCACCUCCAAAAGCUACGAGCCAAUAGCCAAUCUAAUCCAGUAGUAAAAUGGGAAAGCCCACAAGCCAAUUGACCCAAUUGGCCCGUAGUCCUGCUACCACUUUUUGAAAACUGUUUGGGUCAAUUGACAAUUCUUCCUCUUUAGUUGGUUAAAAAAUUUUGAAUUUUAGAUUCCAUGGUAAUUAUAUAUAGAAUAGAUUUUAAAAGGUAAUGACAAACUAGCCUGUCAAAACAUACUUGUUACCCACCUCAUUAUAUAUACAAUAGAUUUCAAAAGGAUUAAUGACAAACUAGCCUAUCAAAAAGUACUAAAAUUUGCAUCUUAAACGUCUAUAUUUCAGAUAUAAUACAAUAUAAACUUUGCAAUUUCAAAGUGCACAUGAUUUUGUCACAUAAGAUGCACGUUUUGCAAGGCAAAAAAAAAACUUUCAAUUGGGCCAAUAUUUUUUUAAAAUUGUGCAAGAAUAUAUAACACUUGGGGGUAUCUUCAUCCUGAAAAUAUAAUGCGCAUCAAUUUUUGUGGAUUGCAUGUUUGUCUUCUUCAUUUUUAUACACUUGCAAUUGGACAUUUCUCUAAAAUAUUGCUUUAAUAGCACAUUAGUUGUCAAAGUUAUAUUCAACUUAGGAUUUCUUGGAUUGAUUGUAUUAUAUGGCCCAAAAAAAAAAUGUGUAAGUAGCAGAUUGAUCUAUUUAAACAGUAAAUGGAAAAAAUUGUGAUUCACCUAUUCUUUGAGGGUGCAUCUUGUAAUUUACCCAUUCAAGAAUGCAUGUCUCCCAACAGAUAUGGCAUCAGAUUAAGUCUUGCUUUUGUAUAAAUCUAGCAAGGUUUCUAAGAAUCAGAAAACAGUAACAAAAUGUUAUUUUCACACUAAUAGUAAUACUUGAACAGAAUAUUAUCAUGUUUACCAAUUUAGGAUUGGUUUGGAAUGAGAAAUUUGAUGACUGAUUUGAAAUCUAUCCAAAUCGCUCUAGUUAUUUGAAUUGCUUAAGAGGCAUUUGAAUUUGUAAUUAGUUGUUCGGAUUACUUAAUAGGUAUUUGAACUUGCAAUUCACCAAUUAUCUGAAUAUAUUUUAAACACUAGAAUAAUUAGCAAUUUACAAAUUCAAAUACCUCUCAAGUAAUUUAAAUAACUAGAGUGAUUUAAAAGAUUUUCAAAUCAUUUGUCAAAUCCCUCAAUCCAAAAGCAACCUAAUUAAGUUUUAUGCCAUGGUAUUUAAUAUAUUUCAUACUCUAGAGCAAGUCACAGAAACUAUGAAAAACUGUAUCGGAGCAAGAAAGAAACAAACUUGAGAAGCAUACAUUACAUUCCAUUUCAAGUUCUUCAUGCCAACACUAUGCAUUUAGUCCACUUAUUAAAUAGGAAUUAUCAAACAAAGACCAAAAAAUUUACAACCAAGCUGGAUUCUCCAAUGGAGUAACAACAGCCUUCGCCUGCAAAUGGUUCUUUAGGCUAUAAAUUCCUUUUUCUCUUCCAUGACAGCUCAUCUUAUAGCCACCAUAUGGAAUUGCAGCAUCAAAGAUAUUAUAGCAGUUAAUCCAUACUGUUCCAGCCCUUAAUCCUCGUGAUAAUGUGUUUGCUGUGUUGAUGUUCUUUGCGAAAACUCCUGCUGCCAGACCAUAUUCUGUUGCAUUUGCCCUUCUGAUCACUUCAUCAAGGUCCCUAACAGGACAUGACAUGUAACACUCAUAAACUGAAAUCCUGUCAUAUCUCUUUUGUUGUAUUGUCUUCUCUAAAAGUUUGAAAUAAACAGAAAACUCAGAUAACACUUGGAAUCAUUUGCAUCAAGAUUAGACUUCAGAAAACAAAGAUGUAGUUAUUCAAUAUGCGAGUAUAUGUAGGUGUCAAUUCAUGUAUAUCUGAUUUCUGAAGGCAUUUGGCAACCUAGCUAGAGCAAUCCAGUCUGACCAGUGAUUCACUGGUUUUGUAUAGUGGUUUUCCUUGUACCAGGGGAGGAAAGGCCUGGGAGCCUGUUUCUUUUUCCUCAUAAUGCCAUAGGAUUUGUAUUUAGCUUUAUACAAGAGACCAAAUACAAAUUAUAUGAACAAAGUGUGGGUUUUACAUGAAAUUCGGUGUGAAGUAUCAUAUGACUCACUUGACUUUUAAGAUUGACGGCACUGGCCAAAAUUUCAUCCUUCGCUAUCAGCAUAUCAUCCUGUUUGAACAUAAGAUAUAUCAGUUAUUUUCAUUGAACUUUUGUACGCAUUGUAAGUGAAGAUCAGAGGGACAGAAAUGUAGAAUUACUUUAACAUUGGAGAAAACAGUUGGUUGAACAUAAUAGCCCUUGGAGCCAACUCUUUCACCUCCGCACUCAAGGGUAGCAAUACCAUCAAUUCCAGAUCUUACAUACUGAAGAAUCUUCUCAAAUUGUUUAGAAUCGAUCUGCGAUGUUUUAUUAGGCAACAAACUUUUGAGACAGUAAUUUGAAUCUCUAAAAUUUGAGAGCAACAUGGAUAUUGACAACUAAAUAUGACAAACUUUGUUUUUGAGUGUAAUUCGUAGUUUUGCAUUCUGCAAGACAAAUUUCCUUUGUUUUCUGACAAUGCUGGAUAUACUCCUUCACAGAGUCAUGUAUCAUAUUCGAAUGAAUGACAAUUGGUUGCAUUGCAAUGCUCUCAAAUAGACAAUAUCUGUGGCAUGUAGGUUGCAAAAGUAAUCUAGAGCCUUAGUUUAUGAAACCAUUUUGAUACAUAAGAGAGAAAGGUCAAAUGUGGAACAGGCUUACACAGUCUAACACACUACUAGAUGUCAUCUGAGAGCAUGCUUACUUUCACGUUGAACAAGAGAAACAGCAAAGAUUGCUGAACACCUGAGGGCCUUGUUCAACACCUUUCUUGAAUGGAUCUCCAACUAUACGCCUCAAGGCACUAGCCUUUGCUUUCUCCACAAACUCAUUAUAAACACGUUCAUGAACAAAUGUACGAGAGUCGAGAGCCAGCACAGCAGAUUUGGCCCUACAGGCAGCAAAUAAACUCAAAACACUUCUCAAUCUUCAAUAUCAGCUAUACAACUUUAUUAAUUAUUGCUGCACAAAUUCUUACAAGAUUAGUGAAUGUAGGUUUCAAAUGGUUGUAGGUAAUAAUUGUGAUUAGAAAACUAGUGAGCAUAAGUAUAUAAAGUGAUUUUAAGAAAUUUUUAAAAAAACAUGUCCUUAUUUUUGUGUUGUCUUUUCUACCUAUUAAAAUCCAAUGUUAUAAUAGUAAACUUGUAGAGUAUUUAUUUUAUUAUUUGUUUACCUUGAUAAUUUUAGUGAAUGAUUCAAAUAAUUCUAUAAAAUAUCAACUUAAUCUCAAACUAAAUUGAUAACUUAUUGAAAUGGAAAAAAGGCAACGAACCUAAUUUAAAGGUGUUGCGGAAGCCCUACCAAAGUUAAGGUAUAACGAGUAAAUUAUUGUAUCUAAAAUUGCAAAAUGGUAAUUCCCAGGAAAUAUUUGGUGAGGCACACUGGCCUGCUUAAGUACCAAUUUCCUAGACAGAAUCACCUAUAUAUGCACUUAAUUGCACAAUAACUCACUACAAAUAUACCUACAAAUAUAGCUACUAAAUAGACAAUAAAAUAGAACACCAGAAUUUAACGAGGUUCGGCUAAUUUGCCUACGUCCUCGGACACUACCGACAAUUUAAUAUUUCACUAGAAGAAAUAUUACAAAGAGAGAGAAGAAAGCAAGUUAUUGGCUCUUGCUUGGUGUACUUGAAUUGGUUUGUUUGAGAGCUAUUUAUAGUUCUCAAACAACCUCUCAAAUGUUAAACUUAACCGAUGUGGGAUUUAGAAAUUUAGGCCAAAGAAUUCAAAGUCCUCAAUUUUGGCUUGAAAAAGUCAUCAAUUGAGGCUUGGCUUUGAAUUCAACAAAUCUCCACCUUGGCAUAAUUUCUAAUCCCACCAAAAAUACAAAUUUUUUUUUCCCUCAAAUUCGGUGGUGUCUUCAAAUGCGUUGUCAAGCGCCAAUCUUCAAGUCGUGCACAACAUUUAUCAAAUUCAAACAAUGUUGGAAUUUGAUAGUUGUCACAACCUUCGUAAGCAUAUCAGCAGGAUUCUCCUUGGUCUGAAUCUUUUGAAGUAGUAUCGUACUAUCUUCCAAAAUCUUCCUCACAAAAUGAUACCGUACGUCGAUAUGCUUCGUCCUUGCAUGAUAAACUUGGUUCUUUGCUAAAUGAAUAGCACUCUGACUAUCACAAUGAACUUUGAUAGACUUCUGUCCAAUUUCCAAUUCAUCAAGCAAUCCAUGAAGCCAAAUUGCUUCCUUAACAGCUUCCGUAACUGCCAUAUACUCCGCCUCUGUAGUAGACAAAGCAACUGUUGACUGUAAGGUAGACCUCCAACUGACUGGUGCCUUAGCAAGUGUAAAAACAUACCCAGUCGUUGAUCGACGUAUAUCUUGAUCUCCUGCGUAGUCGGAAUCACAAUAUCCAACUACGCCUUGACCAAUCUUCUCAUCCCGCUCAAAUACUAAUCCAACAUCUACGGUGUUCAAAAUAUACCGUAAAAUCCAUUUCACAGCUUGCCAAUGCUCCUUGCCAGGAUCAUGCAUGUACCUGCUCACAACUCCAACUGCUUGUGAAAUGUCGGGCCUUGUACACACCAUAGCAUACAUCAAGCUACCCACCGCAUUUGCAUACGGUACCUUUGCCAUAUAUUCUCGUUCUGCAUCAUUCUUUGGAGAUAACGAUGCACUAAACUUGAAAUGAGGAGCAAGUGGAGUACUAACAGGUUUAGUCUUUUCAUUCAUACCAAACCUCUUUAAUACUUUACUAAGAUACUCUUUCUGUGUCAAAUAAAGCCUCCCCAAUCUUCUAUCUCUACUUAUCUCCAUGCCGAGAAUUUUCUUGGCUUCGCCGAGAUCCUUCAUUUCAAACUCCCGACUCAAAUGAGAUUUCAAUUUUUCAAUCUCACCUUGAUCCUUGGAAGCUAUCAACAUAUCAUCAACAUAAAGAAGAAGAUAUAUGUAGGAUCCAUCUCGUAGCUUGCGCAAAUAUACACAAUCAUCAUAUUUGCUUCUUGUGUACCUUUGCCCCAUCAUAAACUUGUCAAAUCGCUUAUACCACUGUCUUGGAGACUGCUUCAAUCCAUACAACGAUUUGUCAAGCUUGCAUACCAUCUUUUCUUUACCAGCAACUUUGAAUCCUUCUGGCUGAGUCAUGUAGAUUUCCUCUUCCAAGUCACCAUGUAAAAACGCAGUUUUUACAUCUAAUUGGACAAGUUCCAGAUCCAAUUGUGCUACCAAAGCCAAUAAAAUUCUGAUGGAGGAAUGUUUCACGACUGGAGAAAACACUUCGUUGUAAUCAAUUCCCUCCUUCUGAGCGUAGCCUUUAGCCACCAAUCUUGCUUUGUAGCGAACACCAGACUUGUCAGGAAAUCCUUCCUUCUUUGCAUAUACCCACUUGCAUCCGAUUGCCUUCUUUCCCUUUGGAAGACUGGUUAGCCUCCAUGUUUGAUUCUUAUGAAGGGAAUGUACUUCUUCAUCCAUUGCAAUCCUCCACUUUUCUUUAUCCGAACUUUGAGCUGCUUCAUUGAAAGUGGCAGGAAUAUCAACAUUUAUGGUUGGGGAUGCAUAGGCCACUAUAUCAGCAAAACGAGCAGGUUUUCUGAUUGUCCUCUUUGGCCUACUGGUUGCAAUUGAUUCAUGUUGCUGUGAAAGUUCUUCAACUGGAACAUUUUCUUCAGUUGAUUCUUCUUCUACCAUAGGAGUCCUUUCAUCUACUCCGAUAUCCACUGCUGGUCUGAUAAUGCUUCUUUCAAACUCCAUCUGCUUAGGAGUGCUCUCCACCUGUUGGGGAGUACUAUCAUUCUGCUGUACAUCUACCUUUGUUAACAUGGUAGAUUCAUCAAAGGUGACAUCCCUGCUGAAAACUAUCUUUUUCGUUUCGGGACACCAAAGGCGAUAACCUUUAAUGCCUGUUGUGAUCCCCAUAAAGAGCGCCUUCUUCGCCCUUGGAUCCAACUUUGAUUCUUUAACAUGAUAAUAUGCAGUAGAACCAAACACAUGUAAGGAAUCAUAAUCUGUAGCAGGUUUUCCCGACCAUUUCUCUAAUGGCGUUUUGCCGCCAAUAGCAGUUGAUGGUAAGCGAUUAACGAGGUGAUUUGCAUAUGCUAAGGCCUCAGCCCAAAAUUGUCUGCCCAACUCAGCAUUGGACAACAUACACCGAACUUUCUCCACCAAUGUCCGGUUCAUACGCUCUGCCACCCCGUUUUGCUGUGGUGUAUCUCUGACUGUGAAGUGCCGAACAAUGCCUUCAUUUUCACAGACCUCCAUGAACGGAUCACUAGUGUAUUCACCUCCGUUGUCUGUUCGAAGGCGUUUGAUCUUUCUUUCUGUUUGAGUUUCCACCAUCUUUUUCCACUUGAUGAAAAUUCCCAAUACUUCACUUUUCGCCUUCAUAGUAUACACCCAUACUCUUCGAGAGAAGUCAUCGACAAAGGUAACAAAAUAAUUCUUGCCUCCCAAAGAAGUUGUUUUGGAAGGUCCCCACACAUCAGAGUGCACAUAAUCCAAAAUACCCUUGGUAUCGUGAAUUGCAGUGCCAAAUUUUACCCUUGUCUGCUUUCCUUUGACACAAUGCUCGCAAAAAUCUAACUUGCAAACACUGGCUCCUUUUAAUAGUCCUUGAUUCAUCAGAAGAUUCAAAGAUUUUUCUCCGGCAUGCCCUAAGCGCAUAUGCCAUAAUCUGGUUACUUUCAAUUCUCGAUCAUCACUGGAAGCCACGGCCGCUACUCCAACAACUGCAUUACCUUGAUAGUAAUACAAGUUAUUAUUUUUCCGGAUUCCUUUCACCAGCACCAAUGCACCUGAAAUGAUUUUCAUCACUCCAUUAUAUGCCGACACCUUGUAGCCCAUUGAUUCUAGUACUCCCACAGAAAUGAGGUUCUUUUUCAAUUCUGGCACAUAUCGGACAUCAGUUAGAAUCUUAAUUGAUCCAUCCUGAUUCCUCAGCCGAAUUGAACCAACCCCAUUUGUUGCUAAUGUGGUCUCAUCUGCCGUGUAGACGACUCCACCUUCUUUUUCCUUGAAAUCAAAGAACCAUUCUCUAUUGGACGUCAUAUGAUGGCUACAACCUGAGUCCAAUAGCCAUGUACUAGAAUGACCAGUAGGCAUGACAGCUAAUGAAAAAUCUGAGUUUUGAUCAAUGCACUCAGAUACAUUUGAAUCCGCAACAGCUUUUUCUUUGUCAGGUCUACCCUUCAGUUUUGGACAGUCCUUCUUCCAGUGCCCUUUCUCUCUGCAAAAGGCACACUCAUCUUUACUUAGUCUGGCUCUUGACUUGGAUCUUCUUCUCGUCCCCUUUCUCUGGUUUUGUGAGCGUCCUCUAGUUACCAGAGCUUCUGCUGCUCCAUCUCUGCUAUUUUGCUUGUCUUUUCUUCUGAGCUCAUAGCUGUACAGGGCAGAGCUAACUUCACUGAGGGACACCUCAGCUUUCCCAUGGAGUAGAGUUGUUUCAAGAUGCUCAAACUCCUCAGGAAGAGAUCCCAACAACAUGAGAGCCAAAUCUUCGUCUUCAAAUGUCACAUCUAAAUUCAUCAGAUCAGUGAUUAACUGAUUGAAAUUAGUGAUGUGAUCACUUAGAGUUGUGCCAGGAACAUAAGUGAAGCGAAAUAAACGCUUCUUCAUGUUGAGCCUGUUCUGACAAUUUUUCUUCAAGAACUUCUCCUCCAAUCCAGUCCAUAAUUUAUUUGCAGAGGUUUCUUUUGAGAACACAUAUUUUUGUUCCCUUGAAAGACACGAUCGAAUUGUACCACACGCUAAACGAUUUAGCGUCCUCCAUUCCUUCUCUUCAAUCUCUUCUGGUUUCUCUUUUUCGAUGGCAAUGUCUAGACCUUGAUUAAAGAGCGCGUCUAGAAUCUCACUUUGCCACAUGCCGAAAUGACCGGUACCAUCAAAUGUCUCCACAUUUAAUUUUGUAUUCGUCAUAACAUUUCUCGCCAUAAUAGAUAAUGACGAGCUUGUUGAUGCUUGCAUUGUAGAUGAAGAUCUACUUUCGGCCAUCUCUACAAAUUAUAUUUAGUAGCUCCUAAAUGUAGAGUAACAAUAGCCCAAGAAAUCUUUUCUGAUGUGGAAGAUCAGACCAUGCUGCAACCACAGAGCAUACUAAGAAACCUCGAGCUCUGAUACCAAUUGUUGCGGAAGCCCUACCAAAGUUAAGGUAUAACGAGUAAAUUAUUGUACCUAAAAUUGCAAAAUGGUAAUUCCCAGGAAAUAUUUGGUGAGGCACACUGGCCUGCUUAAGUACCAAUUUCCUAGACAGAAUCACCUAUAUAUGCACUUAAUUGCACAAUAACUCACUACAAAUAUACCUACAAAUAUAGCUACUAAAUAGACAAUAAAAUAGAACACCAGAAUUUAACGAGGUUCGGCUAAUUUGCCUACGUCCUCGGACACUACCGACAAUUUAAUAUUUCACUAGAAGAAAUAUUACAAAGAGAGAGAAGAAAGCAAGUUAUUGGCUCUUGCUUGGUGUACUUGAAUUGGUUUGUUUGAGAGCUAUUUAUAGUUCUCAAACAACCUCUCAAAUGUUAAACUUAACCGAUGUGGGAUUUAGAAAUUUAGGCCAAAGAAUUCAAAGUCCUCAAUUUUGGCUUGAAAAAGUCAUCAAUUGAGGCUUGGCUUUGAAUUCAACAAAAGGGACAUCCCUUAUAUUUUAAAGGGACACUUGAUUGAGUGUUUAAUUAUCAAUACAAGAGAAAAAAUGAUAAAACUCAUUAUCAAUUAAUUAGUCAUAAUGCAAAGCAAUAAAUACAUAUAUCAUCAAGGAGGUCUUGGCUUAAUGACUAAGGUUGAGACCUUAAAAAUUAGAGCUCCUAGGCUCUAAUUCCCUACCCCCCUCCUUGCUUUUUAAGUCCUACCCCUUCCCUGUUAGAAAAAAAAAAAAGUUUGAGACUAGCUAUGCAAAAGUGGAGAAGCGUCUGAAAAAUUAGUGAGAUAACUAAAUAAAAUAAAAUAAAAUGAGAACAAAAAGAUGUUUAAUUAGUUUUUGCAUGUUUUUUUUAACACAAUUUCAAUCUAAUUCGCAUCUUCUUUCAUCCUAAAACCACUAUUUAUAAUCUAAGGGACUAUAAUGAUCCAAAUUCGAAACAUCGAGGACCAAAAGUACAAAAUCAAAGUUAUUGACAAAUGGCAAUUUAAUAUGACGGUUAGUUAUUAUUGAAUUUCCAUCAAGUGUCCUAAAUGUUCCUAAAAUCUAAAAUUUUGAGGACCAAAUUUGUUUUGGUCAAAAUAUUAAGGAGUAGCUUAGCACAUAGGCCAAACAUUAAGGUCUAAAACUGCAUUUUUUUCCUACAUUUGAAAAUGUAAAGUAUUUUUACACGGGUAGUGUACUAAAAAUGAAUCGUUUACUUAAUACUUCUUUCCACCCUAGCUUCUUAAAUGAAUAAAAAAGAACUCGUUAUUUUUCUUUUGAUAAUACGCAUUGCGUGCAUAUUUGUUUGCAUAUUCAGAAGUUAACAUGAUCCAUGGCAAUUUCAUUGUUAACAAAAUGAGAAAGGAUCAUUCAAAAAUUCAACCUAGUAAAAUAAGAACUUUGAAUUCACAGUGGUGUAUUUUAGAGUCCCCUUUUGAUCAAUCGUUUCAAGUUUUAAAAGCAACUUGGUCCCAUGCAACAUGUAUGACGGGUCAUUGCCCUUCUUUCAUCAGGAAAUGGAAAGCAGCAUUGAGAGUUAGAUAUAUCAAGGCGCCUGGUAGUUCAAUCAUGCAUCUAUGAAUGAUGCAGCUUGAUUCGACACACGUUUCAUCUAGAUGGUUCAACUAAUCCAAGAAACGUGAGGUCUUUUUCUGUAGCGGAUCAGCGCAGAUAAAUUUUCGGUUAUAAAAAAUAAAAAACUAAAAUCUUGAGUUGAAUAUAAAUAAGAAAUUGGCUCCUCCACAUUUUUUUUUUUGCCUUUGAAAGACAAUCACGAAUGAUCAUUCAUGUUUGAGAGAGAAUAUUUCAUUCAACUUGAUAAAAUGGACACCCAAGAAAUGAGUUCAAGAGGGCUAUUUGUAACGUUUAAGUCAAGAAAGUAAUAAGCUAAUGCUAACAAAGAAAUACUCAAAUUACAAGCGGAAUGAAUGUCACAAGUCUGUGCUCUUCUUUGUGUAGAAAGCUAGUGCAAAAGAGGAAAAAAAUUGCAAGACAAUUAAAGCACCACCCUGUCCAAAUCAAAACAAGAUUCUGCAUUUGUAUUUUGAGGUUUCUUGGGCCCAAUUUCUUAGUUUGUGAUUGAAAAAAGAAAAUUCAUAGGCCAAAGGGAAUUGAUCUAAAUGAGGUUCAAAACUUUUGUACUUGUAACAUUUUUUUGUUUUGAGGGAGGGUUGGAUUUGGUGGUGAGGUGGGAGAGAUUGUAAGUAAUAGGUCAUGAAUUCAAACUCCCAUUUACAAAAAAAAAAAAAGAUGUUUUUUUUUCUUUCCGGUUAUUACAUUGCAUAUCAUAGUGAAGCUGGACUAUAGGUUACAAUGUCGUAUAUCUCCCAUCGAGUAGAUAAUUUUAUUAACUAAAAUUGGAGCUGCUUAAAUUACCAAUGUCUAAUUUAAGUCCAAUCUUUUACCCUUAAUUUUGCUUUCAAGUAUAUUCAAUACCUUUAAUCACACCAGCAAAAUUGCUGAUUUAUCGUCCCGCAGAUCACUGUUUUCAUUUGAAAAGCAUUCUUCUAGAGAUUGCCAUUGUAAUGCCUUGUAUACGGGCCAAAUACAAUUUAUUCCCCUGUGGUUUAGCGCUUCUUCACAUAAUCCCCUAUGGUUUCAAAAGUUUUAUAUAAUCCUCUCAUGAUUUGGAUUAAAGUGUCAAAAUGACGAAAUUUGCAUUCUUUAUCGAAAUCAACUAAAAUGUCAAAAGUAUCCCUAUGUAAAGUUGAAAAUUAUUUAUUAACCGCGGGGGGAGGGGGGUUAUAUAUAUAUAUAUAUUGAAAAUUAUAAAGGGGUUAUAUGGUAAAACAUUUAUCUAUAAAGGGGUUAUAUGGUAAAACGUAAAAUCAUAUGGGGUUGCAUGCAUAUUAUGUUUAUAUAUUUUGGUUAUUUCAAUCAUUUUAGUUUUUAAAUAAGAGUAAUUUUGACAUUUCAUGGGUUCCGUUACAAAUGAUCAUUUCUGUCAUUUUGACACUUUAAUCUAAACUAUGAGAGAGUUAUAUAUAACUUUUGAAACUAUAGGGGAAUUAUGUGAAAAUUGCUAAACUACAGGGGAUAAAGUAUAUUUUGCCAUUUGUAUAUUGCUGUUUUCGAUUGUCUUGUUUGAUAUGACUAUUCGAAAAUCAUAGGUGCCAACAAUUAUUUCUGCAAUCCCCUUUUUCUUUUAUGUUUAUAAAUUUGAAAUUUAUCAUUCAAGCUACAAUAAUUAAUAUGUAAAAGUAUUUUAUUUCUAAAUUUUACAUGUACUAAGAAAAUUAAUGUAUUACUUUUAGGAUAAAUUACAUAUAACCCUCCUGUAGUUUCAUCUAUUGUCAUAUGACCCUCUUGAACGUUUCAAAAUACCCACUUCAUCCUUUAUGGUUUUAUGUAACGUGAAAAUUUGACGAAAAAUAACAUAUGUAAUGCAGUUAGUUGAAAUACGAAUGAUGCUCUUACUUAAGUGCUAAAUCAAUCAAUGGUUUAACCACCUUGAAUAAAACUAUAGGAAGAUUACAUGGAUAAAUGGUAAAACCAUAAGGGGGUAUAUAAGAUAUUUAUAUAAAUCAUAAGGGUGUUAAAUAGACAUUAAGAUUUUAUCACACGCGCUUUUAAAGUGCGUUUGGUAUAAAUGCCAUAACUGAUUGUGCAUUUCGUCCAUUUUUCGUUUUAUAUAAAAUCAUAGGGGAAUUAUAUCACAAUUUUAAAAUUUUAAGAGGGGUCAUCUGGUGUUGUGUAAAAUCACAAGCGGGUAAUAAGUUAUUUACCCUUAUUUUUAUUUAUAAAUAUUAUUCAAAUGAUUCAUCGAAUCAACCACUUAUCCAUCUAUUGACCCAGUGACCCGUCUAUCCGCUCCUUUUUUAAGUUUUCUCGGGCCAACUUGAAUGACUAUGGAGAUUUGUGUUCAUCAAAGAGAGUUGUAUGACAUCAACCAAAGGACCUAUUUCAAAAGGACACUCUUCACAAUUCUUUAGUUGUUGAAUUACUAAGAAAGCAUCCCUUCAAGAAAAAAAUUAGUGAUCCUCAAAAACUCAACUAAUUCGACAGCUUCGUUGGUUGCUAUUGCUUGUGCAACCUAAGCCGUACACAAUCCCCUGAAAACUCUUAGCAAGGCCAGCGACGAUGACACUAUCAUUGUCACGACUAACAGCUCCCCCGAAGCUAAUUUUGAAAUAAUUGCAUGGUGGCGACAACUAAUGCACAUAUAUCUCGAUAUCACUUUAGUCUCUAGAUUCUAAAUUUGGAUACUUUAAUUCCUAAAUUGUAUGUCGAUUCCUAUUUUGGAUGUCCAAAAUCCAUUUUUCCCUCAACUUUUGGAAUUUUUUCUGGGCAUAGUUUGAUCUGAUUUUGCUGCUGUACCCUUGCAACAUGCAACCAUGCUGUUCAAGUGACUAGUAUUCCAUUAAUUUUGAGAUUCUGUUAAAGAUUGUACUUAAAUGCGAUAAUUUUAAUAGUUUGGGGACUAAAAUAUCCCAAUUUAUAAUUUAGGAACUAAAAUAGGAAUUGAGAUACAGUUCAAGGGUGUAAAGUGAAAUUAAUCCGAAAAAAAAUGUAAAACCCAAAAUUUAGGAGUGCCCAUACAUACAUGUAUGUUUUAUUACAUGAAUUUGUUGUCUGAGCAUUUACCUUACCAAUUAUAAUUAAAACUUGCACAGUUAAUAAGCCUCAAAGUUGUGUCAAUUCAAAUUCCUCAACCACUUAGCCUCUAUAUUGUUCGGACAUUUUCACUUUACCCUGCUCUAUUUAUGUUCAACUCUUUAUUUUACACUAGAAUAGCUGUGUCAGAGCAUUAUAAGCUUUUCUUUAACACAAAGUUGUUUGGCAUUAGAUUAAGAAUGUUAUGUUUGCUGUAAAUAUGGCAAGGUCUAAAUAAUGAGAAGACAUUAACAAUCUUUAAUUUUACAGUUCCAGUCUUGCUUGCACAGAAUAAUUUAUUCUUUACCAUUUGUAUGCCAUACCAUUUCACGUUUUUCCAAACCAUGUAGCAAGUCACAGAAAAGAUGAAAAAUUCCAUUCAGAGCAAGAAAGGAAACAGCUUGACAAAAACACAAUACAUCUUCUGUUUCAAGCAAGCCAAAUUUAUCCCAGAGGUUCUAUCAACAAAGACCAGAAAGUUUACAGCCAGGCUGGAUUCUUUAAAGGAGUAACAACAGCCUUCACCUGUAAAUAGUUCUGUAGGCUAUAAAAUCCUUUUUCUCUCCCAUGGCCGCUCAUUUUGUAGCCACCAAAAGGAAUUGCAGCAUCAAAGACAUCAAAACAGUUAAUCCAUACUGUUCCGGCUCUCAGUCCUCGCGAUAACGUGUUUGCUGUGUCGAUGUUCUUCGUGUAAACUCCUGCUGCUAGGCCAUAUCUUGUGGC
Molecule: long non-coding RNA, 44710 nt
Filed under: Coffea arabica (coffee)
Lineage: Eukaryota; Viridiplantae; Streptophyta; Magnoliopsida; Gentianales; Rubiaceae
Description: long non-coding RNA (CARA_LNC003184)
Source: RNAcentral